This 47611-nucleotide long non-coding RNA is filed under the name Citrus sinensis (sweet orange). RNAcentral describes it as "long non-coding RNA (CSIN_LNC004596)". Lineage: Eukaryota; Viridiplantae; Streptophyta; Magnoliopsida; Sapindales; Rutaceae. The record is from RNAcentral.
GGAGAUAUGCAAUUCCGUAAGCUAUCUCCAUUGCAAUCUUUAACCUCAGUGAACAUGUGACAGGUUCAAAAUUGGGUUGACGAGGAUGAUAAAUACGAUCAGCAAGAGUUCCAUAUUCAACAUAUUCAAAUACCAAAACAGGAUUUUCAGUUUCUAGGCAGCAUCCGAUCAGCCUCAUCACAUUUUUGUGAUUCAUUUGUGAUGCAAAUACAAUGUCAUUAAAACAAUAUUCAGCUGCAUAGUCGGAGUUUACAAAUUUCAUGAUAGAAACAGGAUAGUCAUGCAGAAAACCCUUGAAUAAUUCAUAGCCCAAUCCAGUUGUUAUAACUUUCUGUCUGUCAUAAUUUUUUGUUGCUAUGUUGAGCUCGUUUUCAUGGAAACAACGAAUAGGGUUGCGUUUAUUAUCACAAGAUUUGAUCAAUUUUUCAAGAAAAACUUUGCCAUUCCUCAACAUGAAUGUCUCCUUAUCAGCCUUGCCCAGAUGCUUGAUCUUCCUAAAAAACGAACUCAUCUAAUACCUAUUCAGAAACCAAUGAAAUGCUUUCACUGAAUUGAAAUAAGAUAAAAACUAGUAUAGUAGUACAACUUUUAAAUGUUCUAGUAAGUUUUCAGGAAAAAGAAAUAUUUUCGUCAGUGACGUUUCAUAUUUAAUAUGAAGUAAAGAGAAAAUAUUGAUUGUAUAUUUCAUCUGAUUCCAGAAAUGUAACAUUAGAAGCAUAUAAAUGACAACAUAGCGCCGUACACACAGAUGUACUUGAAGAAAAUGAAGCAGAGCAUUGAAAGAUAUACCUUUGGGUGGCCAAUUCCAGUGUUCAGAUAAAGGAGAUAUGGCACUUACAAGUCUGGGAAAGAAGCUCCAAAUUUGGCAUGUGUGUAUAAAAUCUGAAGCAAGACUUCAAAUAACAAAGUGAAACUUGAUAUCUUUGCAAGUCUUCCCAGUCAACCAUAUGCAAAUUUCCAUAUCUAAUGUUGACAUGCAAUGUAAAGUAAGCCACAGACAUAACAUGUGCUAAAGGCUCAUUUAUUUGUUUCAGAUAAUUGACUGUGUGCAUGUAUAAAAUGUACUGUUUUAUACCUAAAUUUGACUUGAAAUUUAAACAUAUUCUAAAUCAUUCAUCUCAUUCAAUCAAAAAGUGCAGAGAGUUACUAAGUUCGUAGGUAACACUAAACUAAAGGAAUUUAGUCAAUCAUGUAUCAUUGUUAAUAAAAAUAUACAUAUGUACGACAUAAGUUUUUGGUGAACGAAAUCUUUAUUUUCAUUAGUUUGUUUUAUAUACAUAUGUACGACAUAAGUUUUUGGUGAACGAAAUCUUUAUUUUCAUUAGUUUGUUUUAUAUACAUAUGUACGACAUAAGUUUUUGGUGAACGAAAUCUUUAUUUUCAUUAGUUUGUUUUAUAUACAUAUGUACGACAUAAGUUUUUGGUGAACGAAAUCUUUAUUUUCAUCAGUUUGUUUUAUAUUUUAACUGACAAUGAAGUUAUUAAUUAGUACAGACUAGAGUGACAUUUUGAUUUGCAAAAAUAUUAGAUACAUUUUUAAAAAUUUUCCCUUUUUUUGUCGCACAUAUAUGGCGCAUUACUACCAUAUAUAAUAAGCUCAAUAAAUUUUUGUUGGCUGCCAUUUCCAAAAUGAAUGUGCUUGCCUAAUUUAUGUUUUAUGAGCAGUACAGUGGUUUUCAUGUGCUUUGAUGAUAUGGUAACUUUCUGGUGAAUUUAUACGAGGAAAGACACAAAGAAUUAGUUAGUAAGGUCAUGAAUUUAUCUAUUCCUAGUUGUUAAUUACCUCAUCCUAUUUUCUUUUUAUAAUUGUCAAUGAAUUAAAUUCUUUGGGGUUUAAGGUAUCUCAUUUAGUAACUUUACUCCUUGAAUUAGAUUUUGAAAAACAUGGUAAGAUAAUAAGGUAACAACUUAGUAAGAUAAAUUCUUGACCUUAUACUAAUUAAUUCUACGCGUCUUUCCUCUUAUAAAUUCAUCCCAAAAUGACCAUACCGGAGCACAGGAAAAUCAUUGUUCAUAAAAAAGAAACUAGCCAGAUAUCAUUGAUUUUGGAAAUGGCAGACAAGAAAACCAAAGGGAGACAAAAGAUUGAGAUGAAAAAGAUUGAGAGUGAGGAUGGUAGGCUGAUCACGUUCUCAAAACGUAGAUCUGGGAUCUACAAGAAGGCCAGUGAGCUUGUGACUCUCACGGGCUCUGAGAUUGCCAUUCUUGUGUUCUCACAGUCUGGAAAGCCUUUCUCAUUUGGCCACCCCUCCAUUGAAGCUGUUGCAAACCGCUUCGUGGGGUUGAACCAACCAGCAAAUGACAACACUCAUCCGCUGGUUGAGGCUCACCGCCUGGUGAGAAUUAAUGAACUCAAUCAGCAGCACAAUGAGCUGCUUCGCCAAUUGGAAGAGGAAAAGGAACGGGAGAAGGUAUUGAAGCAGAUGAGGAGGGGGAAAGAGACUCAGCCGCGUUGGUGGGAAACUACAGUUGAUGAGCUCAACCAUCAGGAGCUGCUUCAAAUGGAUGCAACAAUUGAUAAUCUGCAUAAAACUUUUCUUGCCAAACUCAAUGAAAAGACUGCUGCUGCCUCUUCCUCUAUGGCACCUCCUAUGUAUUUUCAUCAUAAAUGAUAUUUCAUAUUUUCCUUUUGAUUUGGUAUUUGUCUAUAAAAAUCUGAUGAAGCUGCAGGUCCAAAUGAUAAACUUGAAAAAUGAGAAGGCAACUUACUGUUGUGUCCAAAAUUGGAUAUAAAAUGCUAAACAAAACUAUCAACCGUGAGAAAUAGAAUUUUCACCAUGACGGCAAAUGCCUAUGACAUAAUUUGAGAAAAAAACUUAAUUGAUGUUCCCUGGAUAUAAUUAAUCUGGUCAGAAUCAUUAGCAAUCAUACUCUAAGUUAAUUUGUUGUUCAAAGUAAUUAUUAAAUGAAUAGUAGUUAUACUCAAAUUAAUCUGUAGUUAUACUCAAAUUAAUCUGUCAUUCAAGUAAUUAUUAAUUUAUUCGCUUUUUCCACGACAUCAUCGAGAUAUUUAUAAAUCAUGAGAGAAAGUAAAUAAAUAUAUUCCCGGAAAAAAAGUGGGCCGCAUAGGAAGUCUAUUUAAUUUUAAAUAUAUUUGAAAUUCCUCCACUUGAAGGAGAAAGGAUCAAUGGCACAUUCAAAUCACACGAGUUUAUGCUACAGAUAUAACAUAAGGAACAUAUUGAAGAAAUUUUUAUUCCAAAGUUAAAUAGGAUUUUCUUUUUUAAAAGAGAGAGAGAGAGAGAGAACAAGAACAAAUAAGAAAAUGGAGAGGUGAGAUGAAGGAAAAAGAACAGUUAAAAAAAAAGUUGAGAAGAGAGAAUAUGGAAAAAAAUCAUGGAAAUUAAUGCGCAAAACUUAAUGUUCCAUGUCAUUUAAUACUUAUAUAAUCUUCAAUCUUUGAUCUAAUGGUUUAAAAUUCGUGUAAAAACCUGUGCAAUUUAAGGGUUCAUUAAUCCAUCCUUUGUUUGAAAUUUGAUUAAAAACAAAGCCAAGGAAUUUAGUGGGUAAUCAAAAUAUACACAGGUAAACACCUAUCUACACACACAAGUUAGGGAUAGAAAUUAAUGAAAAAUACCUACUAAACAUUAAUCCUUGUCUCAGAAUUUUACUUGAACUCAGCUGAUUGGAUUGAAAGUGAAUUCACAUCCAAUCGAACUCGGCCUAUGGGAAUUUUUGUUACACAUAAUUGUUUGUGAAACAAAGGAAUAAUUCUUUUGAAAUUAAAAUCUUAACACAAAAUUCACAACCAUUCAAGUAAAGUAGAAUUAUGAAGAAAUUGAAAAAGUGAAGUUAAAUUAAAUUUAUCUCGGAGUACCAAUUGUGGUAUAGUUAUUUGACAUGCCAUAUGAAGUAUGAUAGAAUGACAUGAUCGUAGCAACAAGAGAGAUAAAGAACAGAUGAAGAAACUAGGAAUAUAUGCUUCAUAAAAUUACAUUUCAGAACGAUGCAUUAGCCUAAGUUGUUUUGCCACAUCUACCAUUGUAGGUCUAUCAUCUGCUGAUACAGAGAGACAAUUGAAGGCCAGCCUUGUGAAAGCUUUCAAUUUUUGCUCUUUUGCUGAGCAUAAUCUUUCUCCAACAAUUUCGGGAUCCACUAUCUCAGUGAACCUACUCUUCUUAAUAUAUUUUCUCACACGAUCAGACAAAAACCACCCAUCUUCAGUUUCUCGAUCAACCGCCCUCUGUCCAGUCAAGAGCUCAAGCAGCAACAUACCAAAACUAUAAACAUCACACUUCUCAUUGCAAUCACCUGUUGCAAUGUAUUCAGGAGGAAGAUAUCCAAAUGUUCCCAUCACCCUGCCUCUUAUGCGUGUUUCACCCUCUGGAAUAGAUUCAGAGUACGAAAAAUCAAACAGUUUGGCAACAGAUUGUUCCUGAAAUAAAAUAUUCGAUGGUUUUACGUUUCUGAAAACAAUAGGCCUGGAGAAAGCAACAUGGAGAUAUGCAAUUCCAUAAGCUAUCUCCAUUGCAAUCUUUAACCUCAGUGAACAUGUGACAGGUUCAAAAUUGGGUUGACGAGGAUGAUAAAUACGAUCAGCAAGAGUUCCAUAUUCAACAUAUUCAAAUACCAAAACAGGAUUUUCAGUUUCUAGGCAGCAUCCAAUCAGCCUCAUCACAUUCUUGUGAUUCAUUUGUGAUGCAAAUACAAUGUUAUUAAAACAAUAUUCAGCUGCAUAGUCGGAAUUAUAACUUUCUGUCUGUCAUAAAUUUUUGUUGCUAUCUUGAGCUCGUUUUCACGGAAACAACCAAUAGGAUUACGUUUAUUAUCACAAGAUUUGAUCAAUUUUUCAAGAAAUACUUUGCCAUUCCUCAACAUAAAUGUCUCCUUAUCAGCCUUGCCCAGAUGCUUGAUCUUUCUAAAAAACGAACUCAUCUAAUACCUAUUCAGAAACCAAUGAAAUGCUUUCACUGAAUUGAAAUAAGAUAAAACUAGUAUAGUAGUACAACUUUUAAAGGUUCUAUUAAGUUUUCAGGAAAAAGAAAUAUUUUCAUCAGUGACGUUUCAUGUUUAAUAUGAAGUAAAGAGAAAAUAUUGAUUGUUUAUUUCUUCUGAUUCCAGAAAUGUAACAUUAGAAGCAUAUAAAUGAAAACAUGGCGCCGUACGCACAGAUGCACUUGAAGAAAAUGAAGCAGAGCAUUGAAAGAUAUACCUUUGGGUGGCCAAUUCCAGUGUUCAGAUAAAGGAGAUAUAGCAGUUACAAGUUUGGGAAAGAAGCUCCAGAUUUGGCAUGUGUGUAUAAAAUCUGAAGCAAGACUUCAAAUAACUAAAGUGAAAAUUGACAUCUUUGCAAGUCUUCCCAGUCAACCAUAUGCAAAUUUCCAUAUCUAAUGUUGACAUGCAAUGUAAAGUAAGCCACAGACAUAACAUGUGCUCAAGGCUCAUCUAUUUGUUUCAGAUAAUUGACAGCGUCUAUGUAUAAAAUGUACUGUUUUAUACUUCAAUUUUGACUUGAAAUUUAAACAUAUUUUAAAUCAUUCAUCCCAUCCAAUCAAAAAGUGCAGGGAGUUGCUAAGUUAGUAACAUUAAACUACCAGGAAUUUAGUCAACAAUGUAUCAUUGUUAAUAAAAACAACACGAUAUUGCAAAAGAUAUCUUUAGCAGUAGCUUUUAGGAUACAGUAACGCAACAGUUGUACGAAUUUAGAAAUAAUAUGCAUAUUAACUCCCUGAGCUAAGCAACUGUGGUAAUAACCAACUGAUUAAAUCUAGUUGCAUUGAAACCUAAGCCAGUAAUAAAUCAAGCAGAGUGAUCCUCGAUGGGCUGUAAGAAAAGAAAAAAUCCACAAACAAACAAACAUUUGAAAUAUCAACAAGAUACGAAAGGGAAAGACCAAUAAACAAAACGGGGAUUUCCAAUUCUCUCCCUGUGUAUUAAUUUUAAACACAUAGUGAAAGCUAAGUUAUAGUUAAUCCAGAGAAAAUUCAAGGUAUUAAUUGAUACAUUUUUCUAAGUCAAUUCGCCACAUGAACCAUUGUUGGCCUACUCUCUGCUGAUUCAGAGACAGUUAAUAGCAAGCUCUAUAGAUGCUUCCACUAUUCCAUCUUUUUUUACCACAUGGUCUGCCUCUAAGAAUCACCGGGUCGACUACUCUUAUCAAAUCCGUUAUGUUCAAUAUAUUUCUUGCAAUUUUUAGCCUAUGCUUCAAUUUUAAAGACUUAAAAUGUGGUUAUGUUAUAUUCAUGAGUGUUAAGGAAGCACAUAAUGAAUGGUAGAAUGUUGCACACGUGUGAGUAGAAUACAGUUAGCUGAAUUAGUUGAAGAAUGUAAUGCCAGCUCAGUAGAAGUUAGUUAAGCACACUAAGUUUCUGUUUUAGUUUGUUUUUCUCUUAUGUUAGCUGAAAACGAAUUGAAUAUAAAUAAGUGCAUUUUGUAAUCAUUCUGUAAUUAGAGAGAGAAAUAAAAAUAUGAAAUUCCAAAAGCCUCUUUAAAAUUUUCUUAGCAAUCAAAACACAUUUUCUUGGUAACCAAAUAGAUUGAUCAUUGAAAUUUCAAUCUUUCAAACAUGGUAUCAGAGCCAUACAGAGCUAGCUCUAGUAAUCAGCAAUCAAGCUUUCAUAAUCAAACAACAAACAACACAAAUCAAUUUACUCAAAUCAAUUUUUCUUUUACUAAUCCUAUUAAGCUAGAUCGAUCAAAUUACUUACUCUAGCGUUCUCAAGUUCUAGCUUCAAUUAGAGGCAAUCGUUUAGAGGAUUUUGUCACAGGAACUAGAUCAGCACUUGAUGAGUAUCUUCUGUUAACUGAAGCUAUCAUAUUUGGAGAUCACAGGAUCAGACUCUUCUUGGUUGGCUACUGUCAUCAAUAAGUGAAGGUAUUUUAAGUCUUGUUAUCAAUUGUGAGAGUUCAUUUGAUAUAUAGAGAACUUUGGAAAAGAUAUUUAGAGUUCAAUCUAAGGCUCGAGUUCUUCAGCUCAUAUAUGAACUGAAUACUCUUAAAAAGGAAGCUCUUAGUGUUGAAGAUUAUUGUAUCAAAAUGAAGGCAAUAGCUGAUAAACUUGCCAAUGCUGGUAGUCCAAUUACAAAGAAGGAUCUUAUGUUAACUAUUCUUAAUGGAUUAGGACCAGGAUAUCUUGAUAUUGCUACAUUUAUAACUGGUUCACGAAUGGAAUUUGAUGAUGCUUAUGCACUGUUACUCACUCAUGAAACUAGAUUAGAGCAGGAGUAGGAUGACAAAAGUGUGUUUAAUGCAAAUUAUGCAUAUACUAAUGCAUAUUAUCCUAAGGCUUAGUAUGCACAGUGUUGGUAAAUUUUAUAAUCAAAUACUAUUAAUGCCAAUGUGCAAGUAUACACAAUAAGUAAUAAAGUGAAAUCCAAAUAACUCUGCAGGAUUCCUCAAUGCUGCUGACGCCGUUCUCUUCAAUUAUGAUCCUAUUCUCCUUCUUUUUCUCUAAUGUCUCGAUGAUAAUUCCCUUGCCGCCGUUUUAUGUAGUACGCGCCCCUUUUUAUACUGCAAACGAGGGUAAAUAAAAGUUUGUGGGCGUGCAUGAGUUAAAUUAGGAAACAUGCAAAUUGUAAUUUUGCAGCUGACCCGCGCUUAAGUUUUCUCCCUCAGUGCUCGCAGAUUGCUAUAGCACUGGUUGCUCUAACAACAGCUACAAUACUGCAUUGUUCCUGAUUGUGCUUUACUUCUUUUGCGGCCAUCUUCUUUCCUCCUCUUACUAGUCUAAUGUCUUAUCCCUUCAUGAAUUAAGGAUUUCUGAAAACCUACAAUUAUGCACCUGUUUUGAGCACAAAUUAUUUUAAUUCAAGCAAAACUUAUUAAGACUCAACUAAAAUGAAUGUUUAUGCAAAAUAUAACCAAAAUGUAAUAAAAACAUCUUAUUUGCUCUCUAAGUGAUCUUGAUUUAAGUCUAGAAUUGAUGUAAUAACUCUCAUUUCAUAGAGUUAUCACACCCCCAAACUUAAACCUUUACUUGUCCUCAAGUAAUGACAACAUACUAACACUUCACGCAAACAAUCGUGCAACACAACUUUAGCACUUUUAUCAAAUUUGCAAGGAUUCUUCCACCUUCAGAUCACAAUCCCAAUCAUGCAAAGUGACCAUAGUAAAUCAGUUCUAAACUUAAGCUUCCUUCUGUCCACAAUGUGUGUGUGCUACUUUUGAUUGAAUUCUAGAGAUGCUAUAACAUCACCAAGAGAUUGCAUGUAAUUCAGCAGUAACAAAAUUGCAUUUAUAUAUGAGGUAUCAUAAAUUUCCCAUGCUCAAAUUGUGCUGAUUUUAAGAUUGAAAACUUGAGAGUAUUCAACCUCCUCACUGCAACAUUUAUUUUUCAUGUGAAUGUCAAUCAAUUGUAAUGAUGACACCCAAUUACUCAAACCAUGCACAGAUCAGAGUUGCUAUAGUAAUAUCUGUAAUAUAAUCUUAUCUAGAGAUAUCUUUUACUCAAGGCUGAACAUGGGGCUCAUGAACAGACUUGGCUACUCAAUUCUUUAGACAGAGGACUUUCUUGUAUUAUUGUCUUACUUUUCUCUUCUUUUUUUUUAUAAAAUGCUACAGCAUUGCUCAUAACUCUUGUUACCUUUAAACACAACUCUGCAUAUGGGGUACAUACUCAAAUCUGGUUACUCGGCAACUGGAGCCAUUGGAACAGAGUUUAUUUCAUAGAUAUCACACUCAAUCAAACUUGCUUUUCCCCCCAAACUUAAGAUCUUUUAUAUUCUUUUGGCUCUGCUCUAGCAAUCUCAUACAACUCAACCAAAGUCUAAGUGUUGGGACAGAAUUUCAACCUCUAUAUAUAACUGUCUCUACUUGGCAUUCUCACAAAUACUGAAUAACACUCAAUUUAUCUUCAUUAGGUUUUCAAAUCCAUACACAAAUAUUAGAUAACAGAACUUCACACAACACACAACAUAAGCAUAAACACCUGCACUCAGAAACACAACCCCCCCCCCCCCAANNNNNNNNNNNNNNNNNNNNNNNNNNNNNNNNNNNNNNNNNNNNNNNNNNNNNNNNNNNNNNNNNNNNNNNNNNNNNNNNNNNNNNNNNNNNNNNNNNNNNNNNNNNNNNNNNNNNNNNNNNNNNNNNNNNNNNNNNNNNNNNNNNNNNNNNNNNNNNNNNNNNNNNNNNNNNNNNNNNNNNNNNNNNNNNNNNNNNNNNNNNNNNNNNNNNNNNNNNNNNNNNNNNNNNNNNNNNNNNNNNNNNNNNNNNNNNNNNNNNNNNNNNNNNNNNNNNNNNNNNNNNNNNNNNNNNNNNNNNNNNNNNNNNNNNNNNNNNNNNNNNNNNNNNNNNNNNNNNNNNNNNNNNNNNNNNNNNNNNNNNNNNNNNNNNNNNNNNNNNNNNNNNNNNNNNNNNNNNNNNNNNNNNNNNNNNNNNNNNNNNNNNNNNNNNNNNNNNNNNNNNNNNNNNNNNNNNNNNNNNNNNNNNNNNNNNNNNNNNNNNNNNNNNNNNNNNNNNNNNNNNNNNNNNNNNNNNNNNNNNNNNNNNNNNNNNNNNNNNNNNNNNNNNNNNNNNNNNNNNNNNNNNNNNNNNNNNNNNNNNNNNNNNNNNNNNNNNNNNNNNNNNNNNNNNNNNNNNNNNNNNNNNNNNNNNNNNNNNNNNNNNNNNNNNNNNNNNNNNNNNNNNNNNNNNNNNNNNNNNNNNNNNNNNNNNNNNNNNNNNNNNNNNNNNNNNNNNNNNNNNNNNNNNNNNNNNNNNNNNNNNNNNNNNNNNNNNNNNNNNNNNNNNNNNNNNNNNNNNNNNNNNNNNNNNNNNNNNNNNNNNNNNNNNNNNNNNNNNNNNNNNNNNNNNNNNNNNNNNNNNNNNNNNNNNNNNNNNNNNNNNNNNNNNNNNNNNNNNNNNNNNNNNNNNNNNNNNNNNNNNNNNNNNNNNNNNNNNNNNNNNNNNNNNNNNNNNNNNNNNNNNNNNNNNNNNNNNNNNNNNNNNNNNNNNNNNNNNNNNNNNNNNNNNNNNNNNNNNNNNNNNNNNNNNNNNNNNNNNNNNNNNNNNNNNNNNNNNNNNNNNNNNNNNNNNNNNNNNNNNNNNNNNNNNNNNNNNNNNNNNNNNNNNNNNNNNNNNNNNNNNNNNNNNNNNNNNNNNNNNNNNNNNNNNNNNNNNNNNNNNNNNNNNNNNNNNNNNNNNNNNGCAUGAGUGUUUUGCCACUUGCGGAAUCCAAUCUCGGAGGGUGCCUCGCAUUCGCGACUCAACAAGAGAAAGAGAGGUACAAAGAUAUUUCCACGCGCAAAAUACUUCCAGCUAAGUAUAUUCAUUACCCGACUCUUGAAAAAUUGAAUGUUAAGGAUAAUUUUGAUUAUUUGAUAGAUAAGAUUGAGUUGCGUAAGUUUGUUGAUGUUGAUUGUUUGGGUUAUGUUGAGUUGAUUAGGGAGUUCUAUGCUACUUUUCAAUUUAAUAUACCGAAUGAUUUUACUUUGUAUACUCCGAAUGUUAUAAAGUUUAGGUUAAUGGGACGAAAUUUUUCACAAUCUAUCACAUAUUUUUCAUUGAUGAUGAUUAUUCUUCUAGUGAUGCAUAUUUAGGAACAACUUGUGACUGUAGCGAAAAUUUUGAACCUUAUGGUCUUUGGCGUAAUUUAUCUGUUGAUCACAAUGCCUAUGACCCGAGUAAAUCAAAGAGUUCUUUCUUACGUGAUCCUGUUUUGAAAUGUGUGCAUCAGUUCUUAGCAUAUAAUUUUUUAGGAAAGAAAGAUCACUCGGGAGUUUUCUCUAAAACUGAGUUUUAUUUUAUCUGGUGCAUGUAAAAUGAUGUGAGGCCUAAUUUAGGUUUUUGGUUAGCAGAUCAAUUUUAAAGUGUGCUUAAACAGUAUAGGACUUUAUUUCUUAGUCCAUACAUUACUCUGUUAGCUAUAAACUUAUGUGUGCUUGAUCCUGACAAUAAUGAUUUGCAUCCUGCUUGCAAAAAGGAAUUUUUGGAUAUGUCUGUGUUUGAAAGAACAAGUGUGGUCGAAUUCAAGGAGGGGAGAUUUCAGUUUACUGAACCAGGACCAACUCAACUUCCAAAGAAGCUUUAUGCUAGAAGUGGUGCUACCUCUGAUGACGAGUUUGACGACGAAACUGCUGCCCCACCAACUAUUCCUUCUACAUCUGCACCACAUUUGAGCAUUCAAUUAGAGAAAAUGGAGCACAAGCUGAACAAGAUGGAGCAGAAUUUGGCCGCAUACUUCGAGAGUGUGGGAUUUAUUCCACCAUUUCUGCCAGGCCCAUAGACGUUAUGUGGAUCAAAGCUCACAAUUCAGGGAAGUUUUUGCCUUUAAUCUUUUAUCCUUACGCUUUAAUUUUUAUGUGAGCUUUGAUUAUCUUACAUUAGAGACAAUGUAAGUUCUUGGUGUGGGGUAGGGAUAUUUGCAAUAUUGAUGUCUGAAAGUAUUAUUUUCACUCUGCUCAUCCUUAAAUGAUUUUGGAGUUAGUAUGCUUCAUAUAUUAUUAUUGUUCUUUUCUUUUCUUUCUCACUACUCUUUUCCCAUCUAUCUCAAAUUAUUUACAUCUAUUUUUAUUCUAUCAUACUCUUUCAUCACUCACAUUUUAUCUUUCACUUUUUAUAUUACUACAUACAUCUUUCUCACUUCUUAUCAUUUUUACCUUUCCUUCACUCAUACCUUCUUCUCAUUCUACACCACUAUUGAUGGUUAAUUCAUUUGAAGAGUGUACAUGAUUUGAUGGCAAAUUUACCAACUUUGUGAGGAUUUGAGCCUAUGAGCAACCACUUUGCUCUAAUUAUUUUUGUUAUGUGAAUAUCAAUCCUAGUUUGUUUAUUCUAGAACUUGCUUUGUUAUGCAUGUUGAAGCCUGCUGUACGGCCAAGGCGGAUGUACGGUACAGCAGAUGAUUUUGAGAAAGGAGUUCUUUGUUGGUCAAAAAGUUCUUCUUUUUCAUUCUGAGCUUAAACUUUUUCCGGGUAAAUUACGUCCUUGCUGGGUUGGACCUUUUAUUGUUACUAAUGUUUUUCCUCAUGGUGCAGUUGAGAUUCGGAGUCCGCCCUCUGACAAAGUUUUUAAAGUUAAUGGUCAUCGCUUAAAACCCUUUUAUGAAGGUUUUUCGGUGAAUAUUGUGGAGNNNNNNNNNNNNNNNNNNNNNNNNNNNNNNNNNNNNNNNNNNNNNNNNNNNNNNNNNNNNNNNNNNNNNNNNNNNNNNNNNNNNNNNNNNNNNNNNNNNNNNNNNNNNNNNNNNNNNNNNNNNNNNNNNNNNNNNNNNNNNNNNNNNNNNNNNNNNNNNNNNNNNNNNNNNNNNNNNNNNNNNNNNNNNNNNNNNNNNNNNNNNNNNNNNNNNNNNNNNNNNNNNNNNNNNNNNNNNNNNNNNNNNNNNNNNNNNNNNNNNNNNNNNNNNNNNNNNNNNNNNNNNNNNNNNNNNNNNNNNNNNNNNNNNNNNNNNNNNNNNNNNNNNNNNNNNNNNNNNNNNUAUUAUUUUCACUCUACUCAUCUAUUUUCAUUCUACUUAUCCUUAAAUGAUUUUGGAGUUAGUAUGCUUUAUAUAUUAUUAUUUUUUCUUUUCUUUUAUUUCUCAUAACUUUUUUUUUUCCCAUCUAUCUCAAAUUAUUUACAUCUAUUUUUAUUCUAUCAUAUUCUUUCAUCACUCACAUUUUAUCUUUCACUUUUCAUCUUUCUCACUUCUUAUCAUUUUUACCUUUUCUUUUAUAUAUCACUCAUACCUUCUUCUCAUUCUACACUACUAUUGAUGGUUGAUUCAUUUGAAGAGUGUACAUGAUUUGAUGGCAAAUUUACCAACUUUGUGAGGAUUUGAGCCUAUGAGCAACCACUUUGCUCUAAUUAUUUUUGUUAUGUGAAUAUCAAUCUUAGUUUGUUUAUUCUAGAACUUGCUUUGUUAUGCAUGUUGAAGCCGCAUUACGGGAUUUUAUGCAUUAAAAUGAUAAGGGCAAACCAUUUUACAUCUUUCUAUUUUCGUAUUUUUCUUUUUUUUCUCUACCCGAAGAUCUUUAUUUGCUAUCUUUGUUUGAGCCUCAACCAUUACUCAUCUAAUUCUCUCCAUCUAUUUACCCAUUUUCCUUCUUUUUGAGCCUCAAUUUAAGGAGAUUUUUGGACUCAUUGUUUGGAUAUAUUUUGUAUAUAUUUUAUUGCUCUUACUACCUUGAAUUAAAGUUUCUCAAUUAGAUCAACAAGCAUUAUGCUUGAAUUAAAUUGUGCAAGGUUCAUUUCUUUUGUUUGAUUAAACAAAAAACCAAAAAAACCAAAAAAAAUCGAAAAAAAAGAAAAAAAAAGAAAAAAAAGAAGAAAUAAAAAAAAUGUGUUUACAUUCUUGGUGACUUGAGUAGAAAUAAGUGUUUCGAUAUCAUAAAGUUCGUUCAAUGAGUUCAUUCUUCUCAUUUUGAUCUCUUUUUCUUUCAUAGACCUUUCUUUUUCAUUUAACCCAUUUAACCUCGUUACAACCUUUUUAAGACCCUUAGAUUUUUGCAUUUAAUUCAUGUUUUGUGGAUUGAAAUGUGAUAUAUGAGCAAGCUUGUUGUAAUAGCAUUCUUUGAUUUGAUUUGAGUGCAUAAAUGAUACCCUGAACACUUUGAGUGCAUGGAGUGAAGUCAUUGAGAGGUCUAUUAAAUCUUGUUGCACUUGAAUUUUGAAUGGAUCUUCUUGGUGGUUGAAUGUUUUUCUUUUAUAUUAGUUUAUAAGAUCAUAUGCUUUAAAAUCCUUGUCUCUUGAAUGUUGAUCGACUUAAAUUCUUGAGGUAUGCUUGCUUAAGAUUGUUUUUGGAUGAGUUGAGAUGAGAAUUGAGUGGAGAUUUGGGAUUAGUCUUGAGUUAUAUGCUUGAGGACAAGCAUCAUCUUGGUGUGGGGGAAUUUGUUAGAGUGCAAUUUAUGCACUAGUUUUGCAUUGUUUACUUCCCUUAAUAUCGAUGUUUUGCACUUAAUAAUAGUGAUUUACUUGUGUUUUAUUUUUGUAGGUGCAAUUGUAUUGAUUGGUACUAAAAUUGAGCGACAAGAUGAUGUUUAAGGAUGAUUGUUCUCUUGGAGAAAUUAUGAGCGUCAGAAGAACUUUGUUGAUAAGGCGUGGGCGCGUGCUGUCAACUACGGACCUACAGUUUUUAGUUUAACGUGUUUUGUAUUUUUGGUUAUUUUUGUAAUUACGAAUUUAAUAUUUCAGAUAUUAAUAUUUUAUUUUAAAAAGAACUCUAGAAGAGAAGAGAGAGAGAGUAUUUAAGGGAGAAAUCUAUUGUGAAGAGGGGGAGACUUUGGAGAAAAGAAAGAAACCCUAGAUCUAAGUUUUUUUCUUCUCUCUAUGAAGAACUAAACCUAUUAUUCUGGUUGAAGGUUAAUGAAGCUUUGAUUCAUCACUACUGUGAGAUCUUUCUUAUGCUUUAAUUGUUUUAUUACUUUUUGGGUAUUUGUUUAUUCUCUGAAUUAUUUUCAUGAUUAUGUUUGUUAAUUAGAUAACUGACCACUAUUUAAUUAUCAACUUAAUCUAUUGUCAAUUAAAGGAUUCAUUGGAUGAAGAUUUUAAUGUUUGUGACAAAUAACAUAGCAGAGAGUUGUGUUAUGAGAAUAAACAAUCUAAUUUAAAUAAACCAUCGUAUGCGUUUGUUGAUUAGGAUUUUGGUCUCUCUGGUUUUUCAGGCUGUCAAUUGAUUAAAUCCUAUGAUCGUAUCUAGGGUUGUCUAUUGAUUAGGGAAAUAAUCAACGGUUGUACCUUGGUUAUCGACUAGUUAAGGAGAGAUUGGCUAUUAGAGGGUCUCAGUAGCUAUAACUGGUCUAUUCAUAAGUAGUAAUAAUUUAUAUUUGAAUCAAUGAUCAGUAGUCGAAUCAAGCUGAGUUAAUUCAUCCAACCAGAGCUUUCUCCAAUUUGAAUUACAAUUUUAAUUUACACUCUUGUUAUUUUAAGUUGAUUUUUAUUAUUGUCAACAAAUCUCCCAUUUUUCAUUUUACAUUUUAAGAGGAUUUAAAUAAUUACCGAUCUUUGUAGACACGACUCUGCUCAAUCACUAUACACAAUUUAUUUAGAGUAGGUAUUUAUUUUUGCUGGCUUCAACAACCACCAACUAGCAAGAAGGGAAUACUCCCCUGUGAUUGGUAUUGCUGCAACAUGACGGGAUGACAUCAGCGCUUCUUGGAUGCACUGCGUAGCUUACCCUUUAGUGAAACUUGUGGGGAAGUACCUGACAACGUCUUUGUCUUUUUCUUCACUAGGCUGGUGAGAGGAGUUGGGGCUGGGGUAACUUGUGUGGUUGACAUCGAUCUGGUCCAUUUUGGUUGUGUCGAGGCUGCUGCAGUAGUGCCUCUAGACAUACUGCCCUUUCUUUUGCUGGAUUGUCGCGGACUGGUACGAACAGGUUGGCCAAGAGUUUGCUGUGGAGGAGUUGGGGUUGAUGCAUCAGCUACCUAUCUCUUAGCUGUAAUGGCGACAAUGAUAUCAAGUAGCUGCUUGGCUUCUGCAGGUGUAUUCGUAACUCUGGCUGCUGAAGCAGCCAGCUCUGCAUCGACUCACUCAAUUUCAUCUUCAGAGGCUGGAGGGGUUGCUAUUUUUUUCUUGCCCUUGCCUGAAAGGACUGGAAUGAGGGGCUCCUCUUCAGGUUCCUCCUCUUCCUCUUCUUGGAUAAUGUGUCUUUUCCUAGUUUUGGAAGGGGUAUUGAUGAACGGUUCCUCACGUUCUUUCUCAGACUCGUCCUCUGCCUCUGUGGGUGAGCCGUCAGUCGCAGACUCGUCACCUUCUUCCUCAGGUUGAUUAAAUGGUUCAGCAUCUUCUAAUUCUACCUCUACUUGUGGUUCGGCUGCAACUUCUUUUUCUUGUUCAUCUGUGGCAAUGGCUUCUUCAUUGGCUUCUGCUGGAGCACCUGUGGUGUUGGUGUCAAAGUUAUACUACUGGAGCAAUGAAUCAGGGAAAUUCUGGUGAGUGCUUUUCAUGUAAAGAGCAAAUUGGUGUAGUUGGUUGUCCAGGUGUUGUAGAUAGCUCCAAAACCGAUCGUUUUCCCUCUGCUGAGCCUCAGCACAUUGAGUUAUACUGGUGCUUAGCGCCUAGAUUGUCUAUUCUAAACCAAUAGCUCGUCUUGCUCCUGUUACAGCAGCUAGUUCAGUUGUCGUUCCAGCAGUCUCACCAGCAAUUCUCUCAAUGGUACGUGCAGUAAGGGCACCAUCAUUCUUGACAUGUUCAUCUUUUGCGUCAAGACGAACACCAGAUACUACACAGAUGCUGGUGAUGAGUGAAGGGAAUAGCAAAGUAGCAGUUUUGUGAUUCUUUACGGCACACUCUCUGAUUUCUUUUCCAAUGAUGUUGCCCACAUCUAUGGGAAGCCCUCGAACAAUGGCAUAUAACAACACCAACCUUUCUUGUGAAACCGUAAUAGUGUGAGUGGUUGGCAUAAGCCUAGAUUUCAGAAAUUUCACCCACACCUUAGCAAUAGGUUUCAAAUCUAUCCUAUUAACUACAUGCCCUUCCUCAUUAGCCCAUGAUGCCCCUUCUAUUGCAAGAGUUGUGAAGAUGGUAAUCCGUUUUUUCGGGGUCAAUUUAUCAAGCAACUUGGCAUACUCACAAUUAAUUUCAGCAGGUAAAUUAUAAAAAUCAUUUAUAACUCGGGAGUCUAAUGAAACAAGUAUGUUUCUUACCCAAAUAUUGUGCUGAUCAGGGCUUACCAAAUUGGCGUAAAAUUCAUUGACUACUGGUAGCACAGGAUGUCGAGGGUGGUUGCAAAACUCUAACUAUCCACGCUUUGCUGCAGUAUUGUGUAUUGUUUGCAUAAUUCCAGUGAGUUGUUCUGGAAAUUGAAACCCUUUUUCUUUCAGAAUCUUACGCGACUCAAUGAAUUCUUCAUAUUUUUCUUCGGCGUAGUAACUCUAGAAACGUGAAGGAUCUUUGAGGCGACUGGCUGUUUUCUUAUACUUUGGCAUUGCUCUAGCAGUAACAAAUUGAGGAUAAUGUCCCUGAGAGUAAAAUGAGAGAUGAGGGUAUUAGAGUUGUGCUUGCGAAGGAGAGAGGGAAUAGUGUCGUAUGUCACUACACACAUUGAUUCCCUUUUAUAGUUGAAUUUAAAUGAAGAUAAAUUCGGUAAAUAAAGAUAAAUUAGGGAAGAAAAUAUUUUGAAUAUAAUGAGUAUAUCCCGAGAACAUAAGCCAGAGAAAUUAAUGCAUUAAUUUCGAAGAUUUUUUUUCUCAAUUGCUAUCCACAUCCAUGCAUCCAUCUGUCAUGAUUUAUCUUCAACGGUAGGUGAGACACUCCAAUUUUUAAUUUACUCUAAUGGUAAUAUUGGUUGAUGCAGCACCCAUUUGCUUGCUCUAGCAACGGUUACAUACUCCACUCCAAUGCCCUCUAACACGUGGCUUGCCUCUGCACUCUGUCACCAUACAACCUCACUUGUCAAAAUGGAAUUCAAUUGCCACACAUACUUCCCACAAAAACUAAAACCAAUUCUAAAAAUAAUUAAAAAUAAAUAGAUCAAAUGAUAGCAAAAGUAAAGAGGUCAAUAAUAUGAAAGGAUAGAACUAAAUAGAUAGAAUUGAAGAACGAAAUUAAAUAAAAUGGAAGAUAGGAAGAGCUGUCAACAAAACCAAAGAGGAUCAAGCUUGGUUUGAGGUGGCUGUCUCCACAAUAGGUUGCCUCCCAUUGAGCGCUUGAUUGAAGGUCCUUCAGACUGACCUUCUUUCACUGCUCAGUAGCUGGGUUCAUUAAGGAGUAAAGCCUCCUUUGAACAAUCUGCCGCUGGGUGUAUGUAAUGCUUAACCCUAUGUCCAUUAACUUUAAAUUCUUGACCUGUUUGUUCAUCUAGAAGAUCAAUAGCCCCAUGAGGAUAAAAUUUUAACAACUUAAAAGGUCCAGACCAUCGUGAUUUUAGCUUUCUCGGAAAUAAUCUUAGUCUGGUAUUGUGGAGCAGAACUAAUUGACCAGGGCUGAAUUACCUGUUUUGAAUAUGCUUGUCGUGCCAGUGUUUUGUCCUCUCUUUAUAGAUUCUUGCAUUUUCAUAUGAAAAUAGUCGUAAUUUAUUAAGCUCACAAAGUUGAAAUUUCCUUUGCUCUGCUGCAGCAUGAAUAUCCCAAUUUAAUUGCGUCAGUGCCCAGUGUGCUUUAUGCUCUAGCUCUAUUGGCAAGUGACAAGCCUUCCCAUAAACAAUUCAGCAAGGAAACAUGCCAAGUGAAGUUUUGUAUGCUGUUCUGUAGGCCAAUAGAGAAUCAUGUAACUGAAAAGACCAAUCAUUCCUUAUCGGGUUCACCACUUUUUCUAAGAUCUUUUUAAUUUCUCUGUUGGACACUUUAGCCUGGCCAUUGGAUUGUGGGUGAUAUGUUGUUGCUACCUUGUGUCUGACUCCAUAUUUUACCAUAGCUACAACAAAGACUUUAUUGCAAAAAUAAGUACCCUCAUCACUAAUAAUUGCUCUAAGAGUGCCAAACCUGGAAAAAAUAUUUUUAUGAAAAAAAGCCACCACUGUUUUAGCAUUAUUGGUAGGUAAUGCUGCAGCUUCUACCCACUUGGAGGCAUAAUCCAUAGCAAUAAUGAUAUAUAAGUUCCCAAAGGAUGGUCGAAAAGGUCCCAUGAAAUCUAUUCCCCAGACAUCAAAAACUUCCACUUCCAGAAUGUUGGUCAAUGGCAUUUCAUGUCUUUUAGUUAUGUUCCCUGUCCUUUGACACUUGUCACAAUAUUUAACAAAUUCAUAAGCAUCUUUAAAAAUAGUAGGUCAGUAAUAACCUAAUUGCAGAACUUUAGCAGUUGUUCUGUGACCACCAAAAUGUCCUACAUAUGCUGCAGUAUGGCAUGACUCCAGUAUGUGGAGAAUUUCUCCUUCUGAAGCACAUCUUCGUAUUACUUGAUCUGAGCAUAACUUAUAUAAAUGUGGGUCAUCCCACUGAUAACUUCUAACAUUAUGAAGAAAUUUCUUUUUCUCCUAAAACUUCAGCUUAGGUAGUAGCAACUCACUUACUAAGUAGUGAGCAAAAUCUGCAUACCAUGGAGAUCCUGACUGCUGCAGCAUCUGUGUUUGUUGUACUACCAACAGUUGUUCUUCAGGAAAAGUUUCAGUGAUGUCCCUCCUUGUCAAUGUACUUGUGUCUACUUCCAGCCGCGACAAGUGGUCUGCUACUUGAUUCUCAGUCCCCUUUCUAUCUUUAAUUUCCAGAUCAAAUUCCUGAAGCAAUAAGAUCCAUCUGAUUAAUCUUGGUUUGACAUCCUUCUUUGAAAUUAAGUAUUUGAUGGUUGCAUGGUCUGUGUAUACAGUCACUUUAGUGCCCACCAAGUAAGCUCUGAAUUUAUCAAAAGCAAAUACUACUGCUAGCAACUCUUUCUCUGUAGUGGUGUAAUUGAUUUGAGUUUAAGUAAGAGUUUUGCUUGCAUAGUAUAUGGAGUGAAAAACCUUAUCCUUUCUUUGCCCUAAUACUGCUCCCACAGAAUGAUCACUAGCAUCACACAUCAGUUCAAAUGGUAGAGUCCAGUCUGGAAAUAUAACCACUGGUGCAGUGAUCAGAGCUUUCUUUAAUUCUCCAAAUGCUUAGAGACAAUCUUUGUCAAAGUGAUAAGGCUUUUCAUGUUCUAGCAAUGAGCAUAAUGGUUUAGCUACCUUGGAAAAAUCUUUAAUGAAUAUUCUGUAAAAUCCAGCAUGACCCAAAAAACUCCUAAUACCCUUUAUUGAAGUGGGGGGUGGCAGUUUAUCUAUUACCUUUAUCUUGGAUUUGUCUACCUCAAUGCCUUUCUUGGACACCUUAUGACCCAACAUUAUUCCUUCUUGUACUAUGAAAUGACACUUUUCCCAAUUGAGUACUAAGUUAGUCAUCUCACAUCUUUUAAGAACUUCUUCCAAGUUAUGUAAACAAUCAUUCUAUGUCUCCCCAAAAACUGAGAAGUCAUCCAUGAAAACUUCUAAAGUUUGCUCUACCAUAUCAGAAAAAAUAGACAUCAUGCAUCUCUGAAAAGUUACUGGAGCAUUGGACAAACCAAAUGGCAUUCUUCUAAAGGCAAAUGUUCCAUAAGGACAGGUAAAUGUAGUCUUCUCAUGAUCCUCUGGAGCUAUAGCAAUUUGGUUGUAGCCUUAAUACCCAUCUAGGAAACAAUAGUAUUGUUUUCCAGCAAGUCUGUCCAACAUCUGAUCUAUGAAUGGGAGUGGGAAGUGAUCUUUCUUUGUGGCUUUGUUGAGCUUCUUGUAAUCCAUACAUACUCUCCAUCCAGUCACUGUCCUUGUAGGAAUAAGUUCAUCCUUCUCAUUAGCUAUCACUGUUAUCCAUCCCUUCUUUAGAACACAUUGAACUGGGCUCACCCAUGAACUGUCUGAUAUUGGAUAUAUGAUUCCAGCAUCCAACCAUUUGAUGAUUUCCUUUUUCACUACUUCUUUCAUAAUAGGGUUUAACCUUCUCUGAUGCUCUACCGAAUUGCUGUGGCAAUCUUCUAACAGGAUUUUAUGCAUGCAUAUUGAUGGGCUUAUCCCCUUAGUGUCUGCCAUGGUCCAUCCAAUUGCUCUUCUGUAUCUUCCAAGAAAAUCUACUAGACUCUGUUCUUGACCUGCAUUCAAGGUAGAGGAAAUGAUUACAGGGAGUGUGUUGUUUUGACCAAGAUAAACAUAUUUCAAAUGUGAAGGUAACAAUUUUAAUUCAAGACUAAGAGGUGAUUCAAUAGAUGGUAAAGCUGUUUUUACUUCCUUGUCUAAAAGAUUCAGAUGCUCAAUAAAUUUGUUAUGCCUAUCAGAUUGCUUUUCUUCCAUCCAAUCUAUCUGAUUUGCUGCAACAUCUUCCUCUUCUAAAUCUUCAAAGGUAGUGACUUUGUUUAUCUCAUUACUGCAGUAUCUAUUGAUUCUGUCUGCUUUAACAAAAUCCACAACACUUAGGAAAUUGUAAUCUUCUACUUCAUCAGGGUUCUUCAUAGCCUCUAGUACAUUAAAUGUGACUUGCUGAUCAUUCACUCUUAUGGUGAGCUCUCCUUUCUGCACAUCUAUCAGAGUCUUCCCAGUUGCUAGGAAAGGUCUUCCAAGUAUAAUAGGUACCUCUUUAUCAGCUUUAAAGUCUAGUACAAUGAAGUCUACUGGGAAGAUGAAUUUGUCAACCUUCACCAAUACAUCCUCAAUUUUUCCUUCAGGAUAUGCAUGAGAUAUGUCAGCUAAUUGGAGAGUGACUGUUGUUGGUCUGCAUUCCCCUACUCCCAACUACUUAAAUACAGACAAUGGCAUCAGAUUAAUACUGGCUCCCAAGUCACAAAGUGCUCUGCCAGUGUACCUAGUUCCUAUAGAGCAGUGUAUUGUCAAACUUCCUGGAUCCUUCGCUUUUAUAGGAAUCUUACUUUGGAACAUAUGACUGCUUUCCUGUGUUAAAGCAACAAUUUCAAAUUCUCCCAGCCUUCUCUUUCGUGCCAAGAUAUCUUUUAGAAAUUUCACAUAAUUAGGCAUUUGCUCCAGAGCUUCCACAAAGGUAUGUUGAUGUGUAAUUGCUUCAGCACUUCCAGAAAUUUACUGAAUUGCUUGUCUUGUUUUUACUUCUGGAAUCUCUGUGGGAAAGUUGGUGGAUGUCUGAACUGCUGGGUAGCUUCAGGAGGUACCAAACUCUGCUUGUUUGGUUUGUUGUAGGUCGUGGCUACUGGUGUUGCAACUUCUUUUUCAGCAUGUACUCGUUGAGUUCCUUCUGAAGUUGUGGUAGCUUAGCCCCUGUAACCAGUGUCUUGAUUGUUGGGUUGUUGAAACAUGCUUCCAUUUUGAGGUGGUGUUUGUAAGGAAUUAAAUUACAUCCCCUUUUUAGUCACAUCAACUAGGAUGUCAACAUUCUUUCCAGAUCUCAAAUUAAUUACUUUGCAAUGUUCUUUGCCCUCUCUCCUAGGGUCUUCUGCGUUGUUAGGUAAGCUUCCUUGAGUCUUGCUACUCAUUACUGUGGCAAGUUGUCCCAUUUGGUUUUCCAGGUUCCUCAAGGAUACAGCUUGACUCUGCAAAAUUGCUUCAUUCUUUUCAAUGUAUUCCUUAAUUAGUACUUCCAAUGAAGUGAUUUGAUCCUGACUGAUAUGUUUUUGCCCUUGACUCUGCUGAUAAAAACCAGGUGGUUGAGUGUUCCUAUUUUGUCUAUUUAAUAUUGUAGCAUUUCGAUUCUGACUACUCCAUGAAAAAUUUGGGUGUUGUUUUCAGCCAGUGUUGUAAGUAUUUAAAUAUGGGUUGUUCUGAAGCUGUCGAUUGAAAUUACCCACAUAGUUUACUGAAGCUGGAUUUCCAGGACAAUUAUCACAGUGGUGAUCUUCACCACGGUAUACACAAGAAAGUUCAACAACUUGCUUCACUACUGCUGGAGCAGAUGUCAUGGCCUUUACCAUGUUAGUCAAUGAGAUUACUUGCGCUGAUAAGGUUGUAAUUGCAUCUAUAUUAUGUACCCCUGCGGUUCCUCUUGCCACUGGUAGCCUGGUUGAUGGCCACUAAUAAUUAUUAUUGGCAGUUCUCUCCAGAAUUUCAUAAGCUUCAAUGUAAGAUUUGGAUAACAGAGCUCCAUUUGCUGAAGCAUCCACUAUUAAUCUUGUACUCAGAUUCAACCAAUUGUAGAAAGUUUCCAAUUGAAUGCAACAAGGAAUGCCAUGAUGAGGACACCUUCUGAGCAGUUCUUUGAAUCUUUCCCAAGCCUCAUACAAACUCUCAUCUUCAAGAAUUGCAUUUUUUGUCGGUGGGAAAUAGUUCAUUAGGAAUUUAUCAGCCAACUCAUUCCAUGUAGUGAUGGAAUUAGAUGAUAAUGAAUUUAACCAUGCUCUUGCUCGAUCUCUUAAGGAAUAAGGAAAAAGCCUCAGUCUUAAGGCAUCUUGUGUUGCUCCAGCAAUCUUGAAAGCAUUACUCACUUCCAAGAACAACUUAAGAUGGAGAUGGCAUCUUGUGUUGCUCCAGCAAUCUUUCAGUCUUAAGGCAUCUUGUGUUGCUCCAGCAAUCUUGAAAGCAUUACUCACUUCCAAGAACAACUUAAGAUGGAGAUGAGGAUCUUUAUUUGGCAAUCCAUUGAAUUGACCAACUGUUUGCAAUAUUUGAAACAUCACUGACUUCAAUUCAAAGUUUGUGGCUUCUACUUCAGGUCAGAUUAUCCCAGGGUGUACAACUUGAGGAGUUAACACAAUAUAAUCUCUAAUAGCUCUGUCUCUGUCAUCAGCCAUGUAAAUAAUGCUGUUAUCGCCUGGCUGUCUCUGAUUAGCAUGUUCAUUCUGCUCUUCUUCAAACGUUGACUGGUUUUAAAGGCUAGUGAAGGUCCAAAUUUCCCACAUCCUGUAAAUUAUUCAUACUGAAAUAAUUUUUGAAUUUCUUUAUUCUCUUCGCAGUCUCCGAAUAGUCCUUUCAAUCUCAUGAUCGAAUUGGAAUACCACAGAUCCAUUUUUGCGCAUGCAAGUACUGAUAUGCCAAUAAAUAGAAUGAAUCAAAUCAAAUUGGCGCUAUCAAGAUUAACUUUACACUUCAAAAAUAAAUAAUCAAUCCCCGGCCACGGCGCGAAAAACUUGUUGCUAAAUUUUAUAAUCAAAUGCUACUAAUGCCAAUGUACAAGUAUACACAAUAAGUAAUAAAGUGAUGAAUAUUCAAGAUCAUCUCCACAGGGAUUGAUGUCACUUGAAAUGCUAUAGCAAUCACAAUAGUGCAAACUAACUUAAGUCCAAAGUUAUCAAACGUAAAGUGGGUUCUAUCGUAAUUGAUGAUUGUGAGAGAAUAAAGUAAAACAAUACCGUAAUGAAAUAAACUAAAUUAAAUGUGUCUAAGAUUCAAUUGAGACUAUGGUAGUUGAAUGAUCAAACUCUCCUUAUGGGUUGACUAUUUUUCAUCAAGUUAACACCAGUUGUUACGGCAAAUACUGCAGCACUGGGCAGAAUUAAUCUGUAUCAUCAGCUGUCGCGUAUUGAAACUCUCAUACUCUUAAAUAUAUUAGCAAUGACCAGUUGUUAAUCUACUUAUGAUAUGGCCUUAUGACCCUUUAGUCUCUCCACCCUACAAGGUGAGCACCUAUGUCUAGUGUGUCACAAAUCUUAACUUCAAGUAUAGCCCUUAUGGGAUUCAAGAUAACUUAAUCCAGGAAACUAAAAUUAAGAUCAAGUAAUACUCUAAUAAUAUCCGUUAAGACAUGCCUUUUUACUGCUCUAUCUUAACUUGAACUAUUAAAUGGGUGGUCAACCGAAAUAACAGUUAUAUUGAUAAUAACUACUAGAGUAAAAUGCUACAGCAAUGACAUAACAACACAUAAGAACAAUCAAGCACCCAUUAUAUUGUUUGUCACUCAACUACAAGCAAAUCUAGUUUAUAUUUUGAAUGAGAAAAACAAACAUUAAUAUAUUGUUCACGGAAUACAUCAGAACAGUCAAAGAAAGAAGAAAAGUAUAAGUUGAGAACCGCAAAAAGCAAAUCCAAAUAACUCUGCAGGAUUCCUCAAUGCUGCUGACGCGCUCUCUUCAAUUCCGAGCUUAUUCUCCUUCUUUUUCUCUAAUGUCUCGAUGAUAAUUCCCUUGCUGCCGUUUUAUGUAGUGCGCGCCACCUUUUAUACUGUAAACUAGGGUAAAUAAAAGUAUGUGGGCGUGCAUAAGUUAAAUUAGGAAACAUGCAUAUCGUAAUUCUGCAGCUGACCCGCGCUUAAGUUUUCUCCCUCAGUGCUCGCAGAUUGCUACAGCACUGGUUGCUUUAACAACAGCUACAACACUGCAUUGUUCCCGAUUGUGCUUUACUUCUUUUGCGGCCGUCUUCUUUCCUCCUCUUGCUAGUCUAAUGUCUCAGCAUCCCUUCAUGAAUUAAGGAUUUCUGAAAACCUACAAUUAUGCACUUGUUUUGAGCACAAAUUACUUUGAUUCAAGUAAAACUUAUUAAGACUAAACUAAAAUGAAUGUUUAUGCAAAAUAUAACCAAAAUGUAAUAAAAACACCUUAUUUGUUUCUAAGUGAUCUUGAUUUAAGUAUAGAAUUGAUAUAAUAACUCUCAUUUCAUAUAGUUAUUACACAACUUAGAGAAAGUUUUAAAUGAGGAGGCUAUUCCAGUGGUAGAAAUCUUUUCUUUGGCAGAGGAGGCAUGAAUUACUCUCCAAGAAUAUUUAAUUGAGGUUUUAGAAGUGGAUAUGGCAGAGGAUAUUUUUCUGGCAAUAACUAUACUGGUUUCAAUCCUUUUUCAGUACCUAGGAAUCCAACACUUAGGGAACCGAGCUCAUUUGAUUAAGAAUGGAUCUGCUAACAUGAAUGGAUCACAAUGACUUCUCAAUAAUAUGGGAGAGCUGAUAUGUCAGAUUUGCUUUAAAUUUGGUCAUACUGCUGAUGUCUGUUGGCAUAGAUUUGUUCAAGAUUAUGUGCUUAUUCCAAGAGGUUUUGGCAAAGGCAAAGCACCAAGAGCAGCAUAUUUUUCAAAUUCUGAUGGCUCUGCUGCUAAUCCAGACUUUGUUGGCUAUGAAAAUUUCAAUAAUAUGUUUCCAGGAUAUGAUUAUAUAUCUGGCAGUGGCUACUAUUCUGGCAUGGAUGCAUAUACUCCUGGAGCAGCUUUUAUGGCUAACUUUGAAGGGACUGCUAAUGAUGGAUGCUAUCUGGAUAGUGGAGCAACUCACCAUUUGACCAACAAUAUGGAGAAUUUACAGAUCAGUGAAGAAUUUAAAGGUAUUGAUCAACUUAUCAUUAGCAAUGGUCAAGGUUUGUCUAUCACUCAUGUUGGACAUGCAUUUCUGUUAUUAAGAGCUUCAAAAUCUUUACCUACACAUACUAAAAUAACACUUAAAGAUAUGUUACUUGUUCCCUCAAUUAUCAAAAACCUGUUAAGCAUUUCCAAACUCACAUCUGACAAUCCUAUAUCUGUUGAAUUCAAUGGAAAUGUUUGUUUUGUGAAGAACAUGAAGGGGCAAGUUCUUCUGCAGGGCAUUGUUGAAAAAGGCCUUUGCAAGCUGCUGCUGAAUUCUAGUUCUCUUUCCUCAUCACCUAUAUCUCAUCUUUGUCAAUCUCAGCUAAAUAAACCUAUUUCUAUGUUGUCUGUUUUUAGAAACUGUGAUAAUGUUACUAAAGCAUGUUAUCAUUCUAUUUCCAAUAAGUGUAAUGCUAAACCCGAUACAAUAACUGUGUUACAUAGAAAGUUUGGCUAUCCAAGUUCAAUGACAUUGAUGCAUUUGCUUAAAUCAUGUAAACAGUUUAAAGUCUCUCAAAAUGAUAUUUUGUCCUCUGCAAGUUCUUCAUGUGAAGCAUGUCAGUUAGGCAAAGUCCUUAAGCAACAUUUCUCUACAACCGAAACAAAAACAAAAAGGUGUUAGAAUUGAUCCACACUGAUCUUUGGGGGCCUUCACCUACUAUAUCUAGAAAUGGAUACAAAUACUACAUUAGUUUUGUGGAUGACUAUACUAGAUACACCUGGAUCUAUCCUCUUAAGCUCAAAUCACAAGCAUUUGAAGUCUUUAAACUGAAAUGACCCACCUUAAACCUCCAGGGCGAGUCUAUCUAAGUCUAUCAAAUCGAACAUAAAUUAAUCUAAUUAACAACAAUUCUGUUGAAAAUUCGGCAGAGUCUCUCCUACAAUUUAUAAAAUUAACACUCCCAAAAUAAUUCCAAAUACAACCAACACCCACAACCAACUUCCUCAUAUAAAAUAACGAAUAUCAAAAUACAAUAACUUUUCCUCAAUCACCAAAACAUAAUAAAUUAUACAAUCCAAAAUAUCUCAAUUAAAAUAUCUAAAAUUCCUAACACCAUCAUGUAGCCAUAAUAUCAAAAUAACUAUUGUUGCUGGGUCGACUGAUGUACCUGCAAGUUUCCUAUGGGGGAAAAAUAUAAUAAACACAGGGUGAGUAUAAAACUCAGUGAGCUCAGUGAGUGGAUAAUAAAUUUAAAAAAAAAUAAACUUAUUUAAAAAUAAGUUAAUCUUCCUCUAACAAUCUCAUCAAAAUAUCAUAACAACUUAAAUAAGCUUAUUUAAUUUAAAUCACGCACUGGAAUAACAAUAUUAUACAAAUCUGCAUAAAAUCAAUAAAUCAUAAAACUUAUAAUAUCGAACAUUGAAUAUCGAAAACUAUCACCAAACAAGUACUCGAGGGAAUAAUCUCGUCAUACCCGAACCUCAAUGGAUAGGCAAUCAGGGAACCAUCAUGCCCCGGAGCUGCAACGGGUAUUCAAGGAAAUGUCAUCUCAUAUGUCUCAUAUCUCAUAUCCGAACCUCAACGGACAAGAAAUGACGUACUAUCUAACUACCGUCAUGCCCCGGAACUACACGGAUAGACAGGAAAAUAUCAUCGCAUAUAUCUCAUCAUAUAUGUGCAUACAUCAUCUGGUCCCCAGAGGACAAUGCGCCCAAGUACACGGUUCAAAGUCUAUGUGUGUACUCAGACGGGCCCCAAAGGCGUAUAUCACAUCUAUAUCAUCAUAUCUCAUCUAUAUCACCAUAUCUCAUCUUUAUCAUCAUAUCUCAUUUGUAUCAUCUGUAUCUCAAUAUUUGUAUCUCUGUAAUCAUCAUAUUGCAUGCAUACGCCCCCAAAAGGUAAGAGCGCCCAAGCACACGGCUCAAAAUCUCUAUGUGUGUUCAAACGGGCCCCAAAGCCCUAUAUUAUGAAAAUAGAUUUUGUAUAUUCCACUCACAGUGACAAUAUCCAGACUCGGUAUCAACAACGUCCGCGAGUUGAUUCUCGUUCGCGGGUCCUCCUAAUUACAUAAACGAUAAAUCAUUUUCCGUAAACAUGAAAUAUAAUAAAUUUUACGCGAUUAAUCUCUAAACGAAUAUUUAUCCGCAUUAAACUAUUCUCGUAUGCAUCAAAUUACCAAAAUACCCUUGCAUGACAAAAUUACCAAAAUGCCCCCGACAUCAACUCAGAUCACAAAAUAACCACAAUAUCAGAAACUAUGAAAUCACCCCCCGGAGUGUAAAAUUACCAAAAUACCCUUGACAACGUAAAUUAUCGAAUAACCCCUGAAAUCUCAAAUUACCUCACUGUCCUAGUCUAAAAUUACCAAAUUAUCCAUUAUUUUUAGAAAUUACAAAUUUACCCCAAAGUUUUAUAAAAUUACUAAAUUACCCCUACCGGUCAACAGUGACCGAACUUAGUCAACGUCAAUGGAAAGCUCAGGUUUGAAAGUUCUGGCCACGCUGAGUCCAAUGGUGCCAGCGGUGAUCUUCCACGCGCGGCGACGAUGGCGGAUCGAGCUUCCCAAAUCCGUGACCUCCAAGUGGUCGAUCGGCAGCAAUCCGGCCGUUUCAGGUGAGGAAACUGGUCGGAAAUGGAAGCUGGUAACGUGAGGAGUCGAACCCAGCCGGUGGCGCAGCCUAAUUCCGAAGAAAUCGACGGCGAUGGUGAUGGGUUUUGGCAGUGGCUUUUUGAGCUUCCAACGGCGGUGUUCUGGUUAGUUUUCGAUGGCGAGGACGAUGGGGAUGUGAUGGCCGGCUACUAAGCUUCAAAUAUGUACCUUGGUCGGCUGGUGAGGUGGCCAGAAUCGGCAGCUGGAGUCAGGUCAAGGACGCGGGUUUCUGGGUCGGAUCCGGGUCAAAUUAAUGCCGAAGGGGAAAAAUUAAAUACUACCCUUAAUUAGAAAAAUUAGAGUACAUAUAUUUCAUAAAUUGUUCAAAAUUCAAGUUGAAAAUUAGUUUAAUGCCAAAAUCAAGGUGAUACAAUCUGACUUAGGGGAGAAGUUAAAGUAUUUACUGACUUCCUUAAUCAAAAUGGGAUAAUCUUUAGGCACUCAUGUCUUUACACCCAUCAUCAAAAUGGUCUUGUUGAAAGGAAACAUAGGCAUAUAAUUGAGCUAGGCUUAACUCUCAUUGCUCAAGCAAAUUUCUCGUUUCAAUUCUGGUGGGAAGCUGUUCACACAGCAAUAUACCAUAUUAAUAGAUUGCCAACCCUUGUUCGAAAAUUUCUAUCUCCUUUUGAAAAAUUGUUCAAGCACAAACCAGACUAUACAUUUCUCAAGUGCUUUAGUUGUCUUUGCUAUCCAUAUUUAAGAGACUUUAACAAGUAUAAAUUUGAUUUUCACAUUCUAAAUGCAUCUUCAUUGGCUACAGUCCCCCUCAUAAAAGAUACAAAUGCUUAGCAAGUUCUGGUAAAGUUUAUGAUCUUAGACAUGUCAUUUUUUAUGAAAACACAUUUCCUUAUUCAAUAAACAUUACAUUUCAUUCAUCAGAAAACCCUACAUCCUCUUAAAUAUCAAUGUCUAAUUUCUCUCUACAAUAGAUUUAUCAUCUUUCUACAAUGUCCUUACCCAGCAGCAGCUAUGAAGGUCUUCAGUCAGCAGGUUCAGCAAGGAAUGAACAAAUGUCUUCUAUUCCUAUACAUACAAAUAAUCUGAAUAAACAUGAACAUUCACCACACACACUCUCAGAAUUGUCAUUCUCAACCUCACCAUCACCAAAUACAUUACCAACACAACCACAAACUGAAGCAAAUACAUUACCAACACAACUAUCUAUUCCACAAAACACAGAUCAAAAUCAAACCAGAAAUCUUCUCCCACAAUCCUCUCAUCCAAUGAUUACCAUAUCAAAGUUUGGAAUCUUCCAAUCAAAGGUCUAUACAGUCACUUUAAUCAACAAAGUACCCAGUACAGUUCAAGAAGCUCUUAGUGAUCAAAAUUGGCAUCAAGCCAUGAGAGAUGAGUAUUAAGCCUUGAUAAAGAAUAAACUUGGUCAUUGGUACCAUUUUCAAAUGCAUAUAAGGUGGUUGACAGCAAAUGAGUGUUCAGAAUCAAGAAAAAUACUGAUGGAAGCAUAGCUAAAUACAAGGUCAAGUUAGUUGCAAAAGGUUUUCAACAGGCUGAAGGUGUGGAUUAUUUUGAGACUUUUAGUCCGGUUGUAAAGGCUUCCACAGUAAAGGUUGUUUUAAGUUUGGCUGUAAUGCAUAAAUGGAAAAUAAGGCAAGUGGAUGUGAAUAAUGUCUUUUUGAAUAGGAAUUAACAGAAGAUGUCUACAUGUAUCAACCUGAAGAAUUUGUUGAUCAGCAAAAACUCAAUUAUAUAUGUAAGCUGUAGAAGGCCUUGUAUGGCUUGAAACAAACUCCUAGAGCUUGGUAUGACAAGCUGAAGAGCUGUCUGAUUGCUAAUUGGGGGUUUCAGAAUUCUAAAGCUGAUACCUCUAUUUUCUUUAAAGAAAUGCAGGGUUCACUAAUCUAUGUUAAUGACAUCCUAAUCAUAGGACCUGAUAGCAGAGAGCUGGAGAAAUUCAUCUCAGAAUUCAGUAUGACUUUUGCUUUAAAGGACUUGGGAAUACUGUCAUAUUUUCUUGGGAUAUAAGUUUCCUAUGUUGAAGACUGUAUAUAUCUAUCUUAGAAGAAAUAUAUCAAAGAUUUUUUAUCCAGGGCUAAUAUGCUAAAUUGCAAAGAAUGUGACACUCCCAUAAUUACUGGAUCAAAGCUUCAUAAAGAAGUGAAAGGUUAUUUGGGUCAGUAUAUUGAGGAUGCAACAAGCUAUAAAAGCUUAGUUGGAGGAUUACAAUAUUUGGUAUUAACUAGACUAGAGAUAGCAUUUGUUGUGCAUAAAUUGAGUCAAUGUAUGAUAGCUCCAACACUCCAGCAUGUAAUGACUUGCAAGAGGGUUCUCAGAUACUUAAAGGAAAUUGCAAACUAUGGAUUGAAGUUUUCAGCUGGUGGGGAAAUGAAAAUCACAAGCUUUACAGAUGCAGACUGGGCAUGUGAUAUUGAUGAUAGAAAAUCAAUAGGAGUAUAUUGCAUUUAUUUUGGAAACAAUCUAGUUUCAUGGUCAUCCAAGAAACAGUCUGUAGUUACACGGUCCAGUGCAGAGAGUGAAUAUCAAGCUCUGGCUUCUGCAAGUGCAGAGAUAACAUGGUUGCAGUCAUUAUUUAGUGAACUUAACAUCAAAUGCACUUCAUUACCUAUUAUCUGGUGUGAUAAUAUGAGUGCAACAUAGUUGGCCAAGAAUCCAGUCUAUCAUUCAAAAACUAAACACAUUAAACUGGAUAUGCAUUUUAUUAGGUACAAAGUAUUGGCAAAGGAAUUGGAGAUUAACUAUAUUCCCAGUGAGGAACAAAUUGCUGAUAUUUUGACAAAGCCUCUGACAUUCAUCCAUUUCAACUAUUUCAGAGCCAAACUCAAUGUGCAACCAUGUUCCUUGAGUUUGAGGGGGGCUGUUAAGGAAGCAUAUAAUGUAUGGAAGCAUGUUGCACACGUGUGAGUAGAAUCUGAAAUACUAAUUAAGCAACCAAAAAGGGGGGUGAAUUGAGAUUUUAAAACUCAAGCUAAAUAAAACACACAACAAUUCAAUAUAUUCCCUUAAUGAAAUCAAAAAUAAUAAAUUUAAUAAAGCACAAUAAUAAAAUAGUAAGGAAAGAGAGAGCAAACACAAUGAUUUUUACGUGGUUCAGCAACCCCCCGCCUAGGUCCGCGCCUCCAAGUUCACCCGUCUUGAGGAUUUCACUAUCCAAACCUCCCAAGGCUUCAAGUUCUUUACAAUUGACUUCCAAAGUGUCAAUAAACAUUUACACCCAAGAGAUUAUCUUUUAAUUUUUUUACUCAAAUGUUUCUCACACUUAAACACUCACAAAUUUGAUGAUCAAAUAAAGAUUACAACAAUGAACACUCUUUUAGAGUAAAUGUACAAAUGAUAGCACAAUAAAGAUUUAAUCUAUGAUGAUUUUCAAAUUUGAAAGCUCAAAAUAUGUUGUUUUCGCUUGUUUAUGCUUUUAAGAGUCUUAAAUUCAAAGUUGGAGUUGAGUUUUUAUAGUUAAAGCCCGAAAACUAGUCGUUAUGGGUAAAUUUCAGUGAGCAAGCGGCUAGCCACUUAAUUUAGUCGGCUGCCCGCUGUAGAACAGUAAAGUUACCGUUAAAUUUGAAUUUUGCUACAGUAGUACUGUUCACAAAAUUACAUUUUUGCCUGAACUUUUUGUAAUUAUACUAUGGCCCAAACCGUCAUAGAACUUUGCAAACAAGUCCAAUUUUAGAAUUUCUAAAUAAUACUUGUUAUUCACAAAAUUUUCUGAAAUUGUGACAUGGCCCAAUACAUGAUAAUAUUUUUCAAAAUAGUCCUUUUCAAAAUUUAACAUAAUACUUAUAAAUUUUAAAGAUUUCAAAACUUUUUCAAUUUAGUCCAAAAUUUGAAAUGUGAAGUUUUCACAGCUAGCCGCUAACUCUCUGUCCACUUAUGAUAUUUACACUCAGACCCUCAAACUUUCAUAAAUUAUAGUAUGGCCCAAUAUGUUUUAAAUGUUUGCAAAUAAGUCUAAAUCCAGAAUUCAAGAAAAAUACUUAUUAAAAUCAAAGAUGGCAAAACUUUUUUCAUUUUAGUCCAAAUUACUCAAAUCCAAAAAAUACUUUAUCUUAAAAAAUAUAAAAUCUUUUGGUUUAUAAAAAGUAAUGAUUUAAAUAAAAUCUUAAGCUUCUCAAAUGUUAAACCAUUCAUCAAUUAAAUCAUACCGGCUUUAUAAGAAUUUAUCGCAAUAAUUAAUUUGUUGAGCUCUAAACUUUAUUCUUGAUUGUGUCGUUAUCCGUCGAGUGUCUUGAACUUGAUUUCACUUGUAUAAACAUUAUCCUUCAAGAACUAGUGAACUUGUGAAAUACAAUAUUUAUUAUAUCACUUAAGACACAUGUUUGUUAUCAUAAAAAUUACAAUAUGUGUAGUCUUUUAGGCUAAAAGAAUCCAGUCAGCUGAAUUAGUUGAAGAAUGUAAUGUCAGCUCAGCAGAAGUUAGUUAAGCACACUAAGAUUCUGUUUUAGUUUGUUUUUCUCUUUUGUUAGCUUAAAACGAACUGAAUAUAAAUAAGUACAUUUUGUAAUCAUUCUGUAAUUAGAGAGAGAAAUAAAAAUAUGAAAUUCCAAAAGCCUCUUUACAAUUUUCUUAGCAAUAAAAACACAUUUUCUUGAUAACCAAACAGAUUGAUCAUUGAAAUUUCAAGCUUUCAAAUAAUGAGGGUGAUGAAUUUCAAAUAUUUUUACGACACAUAUGUGAUCAAACAUAAUGCUAUUAAAAGGAUAUCGGUCUUCGUAGUCUGCAAACUUCAUCACUAAAAUUGAACGAUCCUCAAGAAGACCUUGAUGUAAUUUAAAGAGAUAUGGAAGUUGCAUUUGUGUAAUAUCCCAGCAACUCUAGUUGUUUGUUGCUUUUGUCAGCUCAGUAGCAGUAAAUCGACAAUUAGGAUUACAUUUACCAUUGCAAGAGGCAAUCAAUUUUCUUAAUAAAAAUUCCAUCGUUCCUCCUCAUAUCAUAAUUGCUUACUCAUCUGCCUUUCCACUGUUGGAGAAUUUUAAAAAAAUCAACACUCAAAAAACACACUAUUUUAUUUUUUCAAUAAUACUCCUCAACGACAACUCUUAUUUUUCACUCUCUACAACUUAGAGACUUUGUUACUUCACUUAAUACAUAAACCAAAGGGGAGAAGGGGUAUUUAUACAUGAAACAAACUAAUCACAACCAUUCAUUUAUUCAACUGCUACACAAAUCAUCACCAUUCAUUAAAACAUACCACUCAUCUACUUCACCAACCAUACCUACCACACCUACCACAAGAAACUUUAAUGUAUUUGGGCUUGAAUUUGUUUAUUUUGGAUCAAGUUUAUGAUCCAACAUCCACAACACUAGAACGCUUUUCAAUACAUAUAUGCCCAUUUAAUCUAUCCAACAAACCCAUAAAAUUGAACUAUUGGAUUGGAACUCUUAUUUGAGUUCAUAAAUUCACACAAUCAUAAGAAAACAAUAACAAUAACAAUAAUAACAACAACAACAACAACAACAAUAAUAAGAGGAUAAUGAGAAAAAGGUUCUACCUUUGAUGGGCAGUUUAGCUACUAAGCCAGAGAAUGCAAAUUUUGAUAAGCGAAAGAGCUCUGCCUCUGCACUUAAUAUGUAACCCUUGAGUUCUCAAAUUCGGCAAUCGGAUAAUAAAUGGUAAUUUACACCCAAAUGCUUAUUGUAUAGUGAAAAUUCAAAUAUAUCAAAAAAUUUCUAAAUAAAAUCAACUAAGAGUUACUACUAUCACAAUCAAAGCUUUAAAGGAGAAACAAUAAUCAUAUUAGCACCACAUCCUUUUGUUACUUAAGGUUAUUUGGUAACUUCAAAUGACUUUUAGUACUUCUAAAUUCACCUCGAACGGCUACAGCUAAAACCCCCAUCUACUCAUACAGAGAGGAUUGAAGGCAAAUCUUGUAAAAGUUUGCAUUUUUUGUUCUUUUCCUAAGCAUAACAUUAUUUGAAACAAAUUUAAGAACCCUAAAGUUUUAAUAAUUACAGGAGUAAGCGUGAGACUACUUGGCUAACAAAUUAAAAAAUUUCUAAUAAUAUUGUCAAAAUAACGAUCUAUACAUAAGUAAUAAAGGAGAAAAACCCAUUAUUCAAGCAUUUAAAUGUUCGCAUUUGCUCAUUAGGUGUUAAAAUUAAAAUCCGGGUAUUUUGUAGUUGGAUCUUUGUUUUUUGGAAUGAGCUUAAAAACCCAAAUAAGUUUUCGAAAUGUAUCAUUUAAGUUCUUAAAAGAUAAUUAUACCCCUAUAUUUCAAAUUCAUGAUUUAAAAUUAAUUUUAUUUUAUUCUUUUUCGAUAAAUUACUAAUUUUUACGGUGUUAAAAAUCAAACCAUUUACUAAAAUAUUACAACAGAUAAAUGGCCACAAAAUUUUCAAAUUAUUCACAUUAUUUAUUAUAUUUUAUUCUCCGUAACACAUAAGUACCCUUGAAUAUCAGUAAGCUAUUAGUUAUUUUUUUUCCUCUUUCAGCACCAAAUUUCUUACAAUGAUAUACAAUCUCAUCAUUUUCAAUAUACUUUAGUCACAGUUAAAUUUUAUAUGAACGUAAUAUUUUGAAGCAUAGUUGAGCCAAAUAUGUGUAUGUGUAUGUAUGGAUGGAUGUGUGUGUGUGUGUGUGUGUGUAUUAACCUUUCCACAAUCACAUUUUUUCUUCUUUGCUGAUAUCAUUAGGUAGAAUUAGUUUUUCUAAAUGUACUCACAGAAAAAUGUUCUUUUAAUUGUUUUUUCGCAUUAUGCUAUUACAAAUAUUGUUGUUUUAUUUUUAUUCACUAACUAGGCAAAUUUGAAAUAACAUAUCUGUAACAUUGAAAUUUUAAAAGAUUAUAAUUGUGUUUACAUUUAUAUAUGUAUGUGCAUAGGCACAUGCACACAAAUGCAUACGUGUAUAUUACACACCUUUCCCGAUAAAUGUUUUAACAUUUUGCUCAGACCUAGUUCAGACUUCAACAAUUCUAAUAAAAUAAACAAAAUAAGAAAUAUUUUUGGUUUUAUGAAAACAGGCCAAUUGGAUUCAUCUUUUUGUGAAUUUCUUGCUAGGGAUUUAGAUUGAUUAGAGUUUAAGCAUGUCAAAGUUUCCCUUUGUUCUCAUUCCUUGUUAUGUAACAAAUUAUUAUUUGCCAUAGUUCUUUUGUUUCUUUUAUUUUUAUUUGUAUUGUUAUUUUUGUUAUUGAUUUUCCUAUUUUACUUUUCAGAGCAACUCCCCAUGGUUCGAAAUGACACUACGCUGAGCAUAAUCGACCACUUCAGCAAGGAAUGUAUGCCUAAAUCGUGUCUCUUUCGCGAUCCCAGACUCAGUAUCUCGUCACCCGACCCAAUUAAAAACUUCACCGUAUUGCCCAGCCACUUCUGAAAGUCUGUGCAGCUGCUUUCUUCCUAUUUUUCUGCCACUGGUGUGGAGAACUAGAAAUUUUGAAUUUGAUGGUACCUGUUUACUAUUUUAUAACUCGAUCACUACCUCAUCAUCGAUGAUAUUUUAUUGGCUACCACGUUUUCGCGGAAUGGACGCCCUAAUUGUGCCUCUUUUGUUGGCAUCGAUAUGCAGCUCUGGAAAUUUUGUAUUUGAUUGCAUCGAUUAACACCUUUUAGCUACUACCCAUUACUAACAAUGUUAUAUUGCCCAGCAACUUUUGGGAGACGUGUGCUUAAAGUAUGAUGUUGUUUUGCCAAUAACUGUCUCACUGCCCCGUGCUGUAGGUCUUUAAAUCUUGGGGUCAGCUAUUGCACCCUCACCGACAAUGCCGAUGGACCCAUUAGCUGUGUUGACAAUGACAAGGUACUUUUAAUUUUAAAUUUUUUGACAUUAUAAAUAAUUGAUUUUUAAUAAUUAUAUAUAUUUUCAUUUACUAAUAGCCUAAUAAUUAAGUAAAAGGAUGUUUGUUUUUUCACUAGAUGACUUAAAGAGACUUGACUUAAUUAAUUUAGUUAAGUAGAGGUAUUUGUAUUUGUAAUUUAAUGAGACUUUUUAGAUAAUUUUUACUUAAUAAAAUAAGCUAAUUUUUUUGGAAUAGAGAAAUAUGAAUGAGCUAACUAAUUUUCAAUCUAAAAAAUAUCCCUACUAUAUAAAUUAUUUUUCAUGCCUAUUCCAAAACUCACCCAUAAAUAUUUACUCACUAAUAAUUUUAUCUUAUAUUAUGUACUAUUAUUGAGAAGUUGUGAUGAAAUUUGAAACUUAUGGUACUUUAUAUAUUAUGAUUCCAAAACCAUUAUCUAUUCAAUUGAAUAUGUUUUUGCUUAUAUAUGUUGAAGUAUUAUGGUAUUUAUUUUCUUUGGGAUAUAUAUAUACUUUUACAUUUGUAUCCUUAUUAAAUUUGAAUCUCAAAUAAAUAAUAUAUAUAUAUAUAUAUUAUUUAUUUGAGAUUCAAAUUUAAUAAGGAUACAAAUGUAAAAGUACAUUUUUUAGUUUUUUAAGUGGAAAAAACAAACAAUUCAAUACUUAUUUUCAGAGACACUGAGCCAAAAAAAAAAUAUAUUAUUCAAAUUCAGACAUUUAGGUCUACUUAGAAUUCCGAGCAAUUUAGGUCUAUUCAAAUUUUAGAUAAAAAAAUAAAUGCCACUAAAUUGAUUUCAAAAACUAUAUAUGUAGAACCAUGAACCAGUGCGGCACUGGAUUUGGCUCUCCAAUAUCCACUCUAAUCACUUCUUUAUGCUAAAACAACAAUUAAUCAAACUAAUCUUGAUGUAUAUGAUUAAGCUAACCAAGAUAAGCAAAAUGAAUCAAUGAGAGAUCAACUCAAGGCAAAUUUAAAGUGGUUCGGGCAUUGAUGUGCUUACAUCCACUGUGAAAAGAUUAACCAAGCUUUCACUGAAUGAGAGUUUACAACAUACAUAUUUACAGAGAAGAUGUAACUGAAUCAACACCAUGACAUGUCAAAGUGUGAGACUAUAUAUACAAGAAGAGACUAAUCUAGAAAGAUCCCCUAGACGCCGGCACAUGACCCCUGAGCUUAAUAACAAACUCAGCUGCUUCCCGCGCUUGUAGCAACCUUCAACAACCUUUUAAAACUGCCCCUGACCAUGUGUCUACGUCUCAUUAACCUUAUUUGCCGAAACGCCAACCUUCGCUACUGUUUUGGUUAAGAUAUUCACGUGCUUGGCCACAUGUGUUACUAAUGCACGCAACUGAUAUCAAAAGCUUGUCAUACAGCCUCCUUGGAGACUUCAACCGACAUGUCGGUAUAUCUCUAAGUCUACAACUGACUUGUCAUACUUGGUUGAGAGAUCAAAUUUGUAGUUCAUUCUCCAACAAUACGUAUCUAAAAAAAAACAUAUUCAAUAUUAUUUCGAGAGAAAUAAUAAGUACUCUCGAUGUCUAUAUUGUCUCCAAUUGAAUUAUUGACUUGCUCGUGACAAAAUUCUAUAAAUGAGAGAGUGCACAAGCGAGUACUUAAUAUUUUUCUGUGUAUAGAAUCUACCACAAAUUCUUCAUACAAAUUAUAUUUUACAAACAUUUGUGAUGUAAUAGUAUUAGUUCAAUCCACAUAAUCAAUACUAUUAUGCCACUUCAGUGUAAAUACAAAACAAUAUGUGCAAAGAGCUUAUGAUGUUGGUUGAUCAAAUCUAGAAAAAUAAUUUUUCUAUCUAUUAUAAAAUCAAUCAAAGCUAGGAACUUUUCUUGAUUAUGUAUACAUGCACAAGGUUAGAGAAAUACCUUGAUUUCCUGUUGAAGAUCUGAAGAAGACGACUGCAAUCUUUUCCACCACUGUUGUUGGGAUCUAUAGAAUAUGGUUGUAGUCUUCUAUAUUAUCCUCAUCCGUCUCUACAAGUCUAUAUAGGAGAUGGAAAUCCUAGAGCUAUAUUUUUCAUUUUUAACAAAAUCUAUGCGUAAAAUCAUAUUUUCGUUCUAAUUUACUCUCUUUUACAUAGGUAUUUAUUAGAAUCAGAGUUUGACAGGAAUUUAGCUAGUAGAGGAAUUAUAGACCCAUGGGCUUUCUAGCUCCAACUUAAUAGUAAAGGCUUAGUCAUAUCAUGACACAUUGAAACUACUAAGUUAACCCAGGCUAUUCCACUAAAAGUCCAACAUUGCACUCUAGUAAACCAUGUAAUUAAAUAAAACCUAAUUAAUUAAAACUCUUUUUAUUAAUUUUGUCCUUGGUCUUAGACCAAUAAUAACUACUUAAUUGACCCUCUAUUCGACCUCAUAAUUAAAGCUAGGCCAAAGACAAAUGUCAUGCCUCUGUAAUUACAUAGUUAUCCCUAGGUCAAUAGUUGUUCUGGUGAUUACUUUCAAUAUAUCUAUAUUUGUAAAUUAAAUUAAAAUAAAUAUUAUCAUUCAAUAAAUAAUUAAUUAAAUAAACUGUGGCAAUAAAUUUAAAUGAUCAAGUACCACAAAUAACUUGGAUACGCAUCAUUAGUAUAGAUUCCAUCUUGUAAGUAUAUAUUCCCAUGAUCCAUGAAAUUACACCUCAAAGCUAUCGAGGUUUUAACUGUUUAUAUGGAUCUCACUCCAUCACAACUCAAAAGAAGCAAAAAAUGAAAGCGAGUUCAUUACCCACUCAAGUAUAAGGUCAACUAAGCUUAUUAAAGGUUAUGUAAAUUAUAAUCAACGACAUUUGUUAAAUUAGAUCAUAAAUUAGUAUAGUCUAGUUCAAUAUGCUUAUAACAUAUACAUAUUAACUAUUCUACUCCACACCUCCACUUCAGUGAUCAAGAUAAAAUCGUCACAAUAGAAGUAGAAAAUUAUAGCCUUGCGUAUGAAAUGCCCAUUUCAUUAAUAGUUGUGCAUAAUAUUUUAUUUAUAAAGAACUUGUGAUUUAUAUCUUCUAAUAUUGACAUCAUAAGUCCAAUACGUAAAUCACGUACUUUAAGGAUAAGGGUUGAUAAUGUAGUGCUCAAAUAAAGGGUUAAAGCUUAUUUACUCUCUAUAUUUUGAGGUUAAUACCCGUUUAGUCCUUGCAGUUUUAAAAAUAUCUCAAAACAUCCAUGGCGUUAAAUUAUUAACAAUCUUGUCGCUACUAUUUGUUCCUUUUGGCUUGAUUUUCAAAUAUUACAUUCUUACAAUAAUGUUUUUUUUUUGGUAAAAAAAAAUAUAGCUAGAAACUAUAUAAAAUAAAAUGAAGACAAAAGAAUACAUUAAUUUUUUUGGAAGCUCGUGUAUGUCCAAAAAAAUAUAUAUGGUAGGAAAAGUUAAAUUACCAAUUUUUUUGGACAAUAAUAAAAAAAAUAAUAUAUUUACUCAUCAACAAAGUGUUCAGCAGAAAAUAAUAUAUGUUCAUUUUGUUUCUAUUUUAUUUUUAGGCUUAAAUUGGUAAUUUAAUUUAUUUCUUUUAUUAAUGUCCAAAAAAAUGAAACAUUAUUCUAAGAGGAUAAUAUUAUAAAAGUUAGCCAAAAGGAAAAAGAAACAAUGGCAGGAACGUUUUGAGGUAUUUUUAAAAAAUACAGGGCCUAAACGAACUUUGACCCUAAAAUAAAAAAUGAAUAAAUAAAUUUUAUGGAAUUCAGGAAUUUUUGUUUUAUCACUUGCUUUUAGGGCACAAAAUAAAAAUAAGUCUAACAUAUGAUUCUAGCAUUAUUCUUUGUAAAAUACCUUUGCAUGCCAAUACAAACACCAAAAGAUUUUAGUGGAUGUAAUCUGCCUUUUAUGAAUUAUUUUACAUUUUAGAAAACAUUGAGGAUAUAUAAUUAGUAUUUAGUACAGACUAGAGCAACAUUUUAAUUUGUUAAAAUAUUAGAUGCACUUCUACAAGAUUUUCUCUCUAUUGUUGCAAAUAAUACGACAUUACUACCAUAUAAAAUAAGCUAAGCUCAAUCAGCAAUUUCCGGGAUGAAAGUGAUUGACUAAUUUCUUUUUUUCUUCUUUAUGAACAAAGUGAUUUUCAUGUCCUUUGACAUGGUCAUUUUUCUAAUGAAAUUGUAAAAGGAAAGACACAAAGAAUUAGUUAGGAGGUCACAAAUCUGUAUAACUAUUCUAAGUUGUUACCUUAUCAUAUUUUCUUCAUAAUUGUUAAUGAAUUAAAAUCUUUAGAGUUUAUGGUACCUCACUUAGCAACUUUACACACUCGUCUUUAUAGUCGUUAAUGAAUUAAAUUGUUUAGAGUUUAAGGUAUCUCAUUUAGUAACUUUACAGACUUAGGUAGCGUUUGUUUUUUUUUUUUUUUUAAAUCUAAAUGGGUCUGAAUUUUUCUAAAGUCUGAAUAAGUUUGAAUAUGAAAAUCUGAAUGACAUGUUUGUUUUUCUUUUUUUAAUAUCACAAUAUAAAUGACAUCUUGUUUAUUUUUACAGUAAAAAAUAUCUUAAACUUGGUUAUUUGACAUUUAUAUCCUUGUAAAUUAAAAAAAAAAAAGAGGAUUAGAUUUUGUAGUUUAGGAAAUAAGUUAUUUUACUGAAAUAUUUUUUGAAUAUAAUAUUUAAUUGUCAUUCAGAUCUUUUCCCAUUCAGAUAAAAGUCACAAAAGUUCAUUUUUUCUAUUUAGAUGUAAAUAUCGAAUAUCAGACAUAAGUUCCAAAAAAACAAACAAGCAUAUUUUAAAAAAUGUGUGAAAUUAAUAAAAUUUCAGAUUUAAGACAUUUAACAAACAACCUCUUACAUUAAAUUUUGAAAUAUAUGGUAAGUUAACAACUUAUACAGAGAAAUUCUUGACCUUCUACUAAUUAAUUCCACGUGCUUUUCCUCUUAUAAAUUCAUCAAAAAAUGACCGUAUCAGAGCACAGAAAAAUCAUUAUUAAUAAAAGAGAAACCAGCCAAUUACAUUGAUUUUGGAUAUGGCAGGUAAGAAAACCAAAGGGAGAAAAAAGAUUGAGACGAAAAAGAACGAGAAAGAGGAUGAAAGAUUAAUAACAUUCUCUAAACGUAGAUCAGGGAUCUACAAAAAGGCCUGUGAACUUGUGACUCUAACUGGCUCUGAGAUUGCCGUUGUUGUGUUCUCACAAUCUGGGAAGCCAUACACCUUUGGUCACCCCUCCGUCGAGGCUGUUGCAAAUCGCUUCCUUGGGAUGAACCAUCUGCCUAAUGACAACAUUCAUUCGUUGGUUGUAGGUCACCGCCAGGUGAGAAUUAACGAGCUGAAUCAGCAGCAUAAUGAGCUGCGGCGCCAGCUGGAAGAGGAGAAGGAACAGGAGAAGAUAUUGACGCAGAUGAGGAGGGGUAAAGAGACUCAGCCGCGUUGGUGGGAAACCCCAGUUGAUGAGCAUAACCUGCAGGAGCUGCUUUAAAUGGAUUCAGUCGUUGAUGAUCUGCACCAAAUUUUUCUGGCCAAGCUCAAUGAAAGGGCUGCUACUGCUGCUGCCUCCUCCCCCGUGGCACCUUCCUUGUAUUUUCAUCAUAAAUAAUAUACCUCAUUUUCCAUUUGGUUUUUCAUUUGUCUAUAAAAUAUCUGAGGCUACGGGUCCAAAUGAUUAACUUGAUAAUGCUUAGAAACUACCUAUCCUAAAUGCCGAUGAUAUAAUUUGUGAAUGCAAGUUAUUGUUGUGCCUAAAAAUGUGAUAUGGCUUGGUGAGCAUCAUUAGCAGCAAUAUUCAAAGCAAUCUGUCAAUUUGUCCAAGUAAUUUACUUGUUCAUGCUUGGUGAACUAGAUUUAUUUUGAAAACCCCAACUUUCCAAAUACAUCAUCGAGCCAGGUAUUUAAACUAUGUUUAUAAUCACAAGUAGAUAAAUGAACCCUCAAGGAAGUAGGUAGCUACAAAUAUAUUUAAUUUCCUCAAUUUGAAAUUUGAUUAAAAACAAAGAUAAAAGAUUUUUGUGGGCAAUCAAAUGAUAUGAAUGUAUGUGUACGAUUUCGAUGGAGAUAAAAAUCCUUUUCCAUUAAUUAUUAACACGUACCCCAAGUAUUUCUUAUCGAACUCCAGUGAUCGGAAACAAAGUGAAUUCAUGGCCAAUUGUCCUACGCCCAUGAGACGUAUGGUUCCACGAAAUUGUUUAUGACAUAGGGUAAUAAAUAUUUUGACCGUAAAAUCUUAACAAAAAAUUCAAAACUGUUCAGGUAAAAUAGAACUAUAUAAAAAGAGUAAGGUGAGCUUCAAUUCAUUCCCUAAAUAGAAUGAUAAUGUUUAAUAUAUUCCGAAAAAGUGUGAAAACCUCAAUUUACCCCAAUUUUAAUUCAAAAGAUGAUAGAAAACAGCGGGCGCUUUGAAGGGGUGUGUGCAUGUGUGUGUCUAUAUAUAUAUAUAAAUUUUUUAAUUUAGGAUUCUAAGGUGCGAGAAAGUCUGAGAAAACUUUAAAACCCUAUGGUUUUAUAGUGUUAAUUUCACAAUGCUCUAAAAAUGUGCGGUUUUAAAGCUUUCUCAAACUUUUCCAUACUUUAAUAUCACUGACCAAAAAACUACUAUGUGUGUGUGUGUGUUUGUUUGUGCUCGCACGCGCUAAAUGCGAAAAAAUUGAUAUUUUCACACUUUGAUAGAGUAGAUGGAAGAUCGUCAUUUUAAGUAGGUGGUAAAUAUUGUCUCUCUAGGUAGGGGUAAAUUGAAGAUAUAUUUGCAAGAUUAUCGUUAUAAAGAAUUUAACAUAGCAAAAUGGAACUGCGAUUAUGGCACGUUUAUUGAACAAGCCUGUGGAGUAUGAUAGGAUGACGUGACGUAAUCCUAGCAGUAAGAGAGAGAAAGAAAAGAUGCAUAAAGUAGAAAUGCCUUAAAAUCUUCAUUUCAAAAUCAGCCUAAGUUGUUUUUGAACAUCUACCAUUUGUAGGUCUCUCACAUACUCAUACAGAUAGAUAAAUUAAUUGAUGACAACCAAAAGCUUGCAAUUUUUUGUUGUUUUGCCCAGCAUAAUUUCGGAAAGAUUUAUUAAUUGAUGACAACCAAAAGCCUUGAAAUUUUAAUAAUUACUGGAGUGAGCGCGAGGCUAAUUAGGUAACAAAUUAAAAAAAAAUCAAAUAUUGCUAAAAUAAUAAUCCAUAUAUAGAAAUAAUUAAGGAGUAAACCCACAAUCCAAGUAUUAAAAUAUAUGCACUUCCUUAUUGGGUGUCUAAAAUGGUGGGAAUAUUUCCAAUCUGCAAGUUGGGUAUAUCCAUCCCAUUGUAGAUAAUUAAUUUUAAAAAACUCAAUUAAUAAAUAAAAAUAAUUUAAUCUUAAUAAUAAUAAUAGUAAUAUUUUUAAUAUUUACAAUAACAAAUAUUAAAAUUUUUUUAUAAUAUUGAAAAUAUAUUAAAAUGCAUCUAUUAUUUCAUUUAUUUUAAUAUUAUAUUUCUAAUAAAAUAUCGGAAAUAAUUUUUUGGGUUGAGAGAAACAAUGGUAUAAUUUUAAAAAGGGAGUCUUGAUGUCACUUGUUGAAAAUAUAGGGGCUACAUUAUCAUUUUUCUAAACCUUGGGAGUGUAGCCAAAUUUUUCUUUCAAAUUGAGCCCAAAAAAUUUUAUUACAAUCAAUUUUUUUUUUCUUCUUAAUUUGCUUAUUCCAUUAUGUACAAUUAGUUGUUUCAAGUAUGUUUGGAGAAAAAUGUUCUUUUAAUUGUUUAUGGCAUUAUGCUAUCCCAAAUAUUAUUGUUCUAUUGUUGUUCACUAACUAGGCAAAUUUGAGUUAAACUUAUCUGUAACAUGCUUCAAUUAGUGACCAUGAGAGCCCGAGUUAGUAAUUUUUAAAAGAAUAUAGUUGUAUUUACAUUUAUGCAUAUUACACAUACAAGCGCGCGCAUAAGCACGUGUAUUUUACGCGCUUUUCCCUAUAAAGAUUUGACAUUUUCCUUAAACCCGGGUCAAGUUUCAACAUUUUUAGUUCUAGCAAAAUAUAAGAAUUAUUUAUUUAGUUUUAUUGAAUUGGGUUCAUCUUUGUGUGAAUUUCUAGGGUUUUUAUUGAUUAGGUUUUAACAUGAAAAUUAUGAUUAAGAAUCAAAACAAACAGACACGCUUGCAAAUCCAAAAAGCUAGCCAGUGUCAAGCAUGUCAAGUUUUCCCUUAAUUCUCAUUCCUUGUUAACAAUUGAUAUGGUUCUUUUCUAUUGUUUAUAUUUUUAUUUUUGUCAUUGAUUUUCCUAUUUUACUUUUCAGACUUCCCCCCCAAGAUUUGAAGAUGACGCUAAUUGAGCGAUCGACCACUUUUGCAAGGUAUAUGAGAUUUAAUUGUACCCUGUUAUGCCCAGUCACUUCCGGAGGCAUGUAUGCCUACAUCUUGCCUCUCUUUAUAAGUAAUUUUUCAUUCAUCCUAUUCACUGUUCGUCUUUCGUUGGCAUGGACUUGUAGUUCACGAAAUUUUACAUUUGUUGGUAUCCAUAUAACGCUGCUCAGCCACUAAACUUCAUUGACAAUAUUAUGUUGACCUACAACUUCUGGGAGAAAUGUGUGCCUGCAUCAUGCUGCUAUUUUGCCUAUAACAAUCUCACUGUUUUGUAGAUCUAUAAAUCUCAUCGCCAGUCAUUGCGCCAUUCCCAACAGUACCAACAGAGCCAUUAGUUUUGUUGACGAUGUCACGGUGCUUUUUUUUUUUUCAAAAUUAUAUUACAUCAUUAAUAAUUGAUUUUUAAUAAUAAUAUAUUAUAUUAUUUACUGAUGGCUUAACAUCAGUUAAAUUGAUUUUCAAAAAUUAUAAGUAUUUUAACCAAAAAAACAUGUUCAGUAGUUUUUUAGUUUUUUAAGAGAAAAUAGUAAGUGCUUUCGACGUGUAGAUUGUCUCUAGUUGAAUUCUUAACUCAUGCAUGUUUGCCAUGAAAAAAAUUCAAUAGCAGAGGGAAUACACAAGAGAGCGCCUAAUAUUUUCUCAUAUGUAGAAUUUACCACAAAUUCUCUGUACAAGCUAUUUAAUUUAUACAAAUAUUUGUGGUAUAACAGUUAAAGUUGAAUGGAAAUAUCACAUGAUCCAUAUACUUGAUAAUGUUAUUCCACUUUAGUUUGUACACAAAAUAGUUUAUACAAAGAGUUUAUGAUUCUAGCAUUACUUUUAGUAAAAUAUGGCAUAUGUGUACAUAUCAAUAUGUACGCCAUAAGUUUUUUGUGAACGAAAUCUUAUUUUCAUUAGUUUGUUUUAUAUUUUAGCGGACAAUGAGGUUGUUAAUUAGUACAAACUAGAGUAACAUUUUGAUUUGCAAAAAUAUUAGAUACAUUUUUAAAAAUUUUCCCUUUUUUGCCGAAUAUAUAUGGCGCAUUACUACCAUAUAUAAUAAGCUCAAUGAAUUUUUUUUGGUUGCCAUUUCCAAAAUGAAUGUGCUUGCCUAAUUUAUUUUGUAUGAGCAGUACAGUGGUUUUCAUGUGCUUUGAUGAUAUGAUAACUUUCUGGUGAAUUUAUACGAGGAAAGACACAAAGAAUUAGUUAGUAAGGUCAUGAAUUUAUCUAUUCCUAGUGGUUACCUUAUCCUAUUUUCUUUUUAUAUAAUUGUUAAUGAAUUAAAUUCUUUGGGGUUUAAUGUAUCUCAUUCAGUAAUUUUACACAUUGUAUUAGAUUUUGAAAAACAUGGUAAGAUAAUAAGGUAACAACUUAGUAAGAUAAAUUCUUUACCUUAUACUAAUUAAUUCUACGCGUCUUUCCUCUUAUAAAUUCAUCCCAAAAUGACCAUAUCGGAGCACGGGAAAAUCAUUGUUCAUAAAAAAGAAACUAGCCAGAUAUCAUUGAUUUUGGAAAUGGCAGACAAGAAAACCAAAGGGAGACAAAAGAUUGAGAUGAAAAGGAUUGAGAAUGAGGAUGGUAGGUUGAUCACGUUCUCAAAACGUAGAUCUGGGAUCUACAAGAAGGCCAGUGAGCUUGUGACUCUCACUGGCUCUGAGAUUGCCAUUCUGGUGUUCUCACAGUCUGGAAAGCCUUUCUCAUUCGGCCACCCCUCCAUUGAAGCUGUUGCAAACCCCUUCAUGGGGUUGAACCAGCCAGCAAAUGACAACACUCAUCCGCUGGUUGAGGCUCACCGCCAGGUGAGAAUUAAUGAACUCAAUCAGCAGCAUAAUGAGCUGCUUCGCCAAUUGGAUGAGGAAAAGGAACGGGAGAAGGUGUUGAAACAGAUGAGGAGGGGGAAAGAGACGCAGCCGCGUUGGUGGGAAACCCCAGUUAACGAGCUCAACCAUCAGGAGCUGCUUCAAACGGAUGCCACAAUUGAUAAUCUGCAUAAAACUUUUCUUGCCAGACUCAAUGAAAAGACUGCUGCAGCCUCUUCCUCUAUGGCACCUCCUAUGUAUUUUCAUCAUAAAUAAUAUUUCAUAUUUUCCUUUUGAUUUGGUAUUUGUCUAUAAAAAAUCUGAUGAAGCUGCCAGUCCAAACGAUAAACUUGAAAAAUGAGAAUGCAACUUACUGUUGUGUCCAAAAUUGGAUAUAAAAUGCUAAACAAAACUAUCAACCGUGAGAAAUAGAAUUUUCACCAUGACGGCAAAUGCCUAUGAUAUAAUUUGAGAAAAAAAAAAUUAAUUGAUGUGCCCUGGAUAUAAUGGAGCUUGCUAUGUUACGGAUUAUGUAACAUACACACCCAAUGGUUGGCAGCCAUGUGUCCUGAGGAGAGAGAAAAAGCAUUGAAAUACAAGCAAUGGGAGUCGGCAGCCACUGGAUCUGUAAGUAACAUGAUCCGUAAAUUAGCCAACUCCGGAUGUAAUUAAUCAGGUCAGAAUCAUUAGCAAUCAUACUCAAGUUAAUUUGUCGUUCAAAGUAAUUAUUAAGUGAAUAGUAGUCAUACACAAAUUAAUCUGUCGUUCAAGUAAUUAUUAAUUGAUUCGUUUUUUCAACGACAUCAUCGAGAUAUUCAUAAAUCAUGAUAGAAAGUAAAUAAAUAUAUUCCCCAAAAAAAAGUGGGUCGUCUAUGAAGUCUAUUUAAUUUUAAAUAUAUUUGAAAUUCCUCCGCUUGAAGGAGAAAGGAUCAAUGGCACCUUCAAAUCACACAAGUUUAUGCUACAGAUAUAAAAUAAGGAAUAUAUUGAAGAACUUUUUAUUCCAAAAUUAAAUAGGAUUUUCUUUUUUUUUUUUUAAAAGUUGAGAAGGGAGAAUAUGGAAAAAAUCAUAGAAAUUAAUGGACAAAAACUAAUGUUCCAUGUAAUUUAAUAUUUAUAUAAUCUUCAAUCUUUGAUCUAAUGGUUAAAAAUUCGUGUAAAACCUGGGUAAUUUUAAGGGUCAUUAAUCCAUCCUUUGUUUGAAAUUUGAUUAAAAACAAAGGAAUGUAGUAGGUAAUCAAAAUAUACACAGGUAAACACCUAUACACACACAAGUUAGGGAUAGAAAUUUCCUCACACGAUCAGACAAAACGCACUCAUCUUCAGUUUCUCGAUCAACCGCCCUCUGUGCAGUCAAGAGCUCAAGUAGCAACAUACCAAAACUAUAAACAUCACACUUCUCAUUGCAGUCACCUGUUGCAAUGUAUUCAGGGGAAGAUAUCCAAAUGUUCCCACUACCCAGCCUCUUAUGCGUGUUUCACCAUCUGGAAUAGAUACAGAGCACGAAAAAUCAAACAGUUUGGCAACAGAUUGUUCUUGGAAUAAAAUAUUCGAUGGUUUUACGUUUCUGAAAAAAAUAGGCCUGGAGAAACCAACAUGGAGAUAUGCAAUUCCAUAAGCUAUCUCCAUUGCAAUCUUUAGCCUCAGUGUCCACGUGACAGGUUCAAAAUUGGGUUGACGAGCAUGAUAAAUACGAUCAGCAAGAGUUCCAUACUCAACAUUUUCAAACACCAAAACAGGAUUUUCAGUUUCUAGACAGCAUCCAAUCAGCGUCAUCACAUUCUUGUGAUUCAUUUGUGAUGCAAAUACAAAGUUAUUAAAACAAAAUUCAGCUGCAUAGUCGGAGUUUACAAAUUUCAUGAUAGAAACAGGAUAGUCAUGCAGAACACCCUCGAAUAAUUCAUAGCCCAA